This 82955-nucleotide long non-coding RNA is filed under the name Coffea arabica (coffee). RNAcentral's name for it is "long non-coding RNA (CARA_LNC002491)". Lineage: Eukaryota; Viridiplantae; Streptophyta; Magnoliopsida; Gentianales; Rubiaceae. The record is from RNAcentral.
UGAAAACCACUGGUGUCCACGAUGCCAGUUCAGGCGAGGUUCAUCAGGAUAGCAAAAGCGAAGAUCGUUGCAGACAUGGUUGCUGCCACUGGUACCAUGGACACUGCCAAAGAUGCUGUCGAACUGCCGAGGAGACCCCUGAAGUCACAUCUGGAGAUGAGGAUACCGUAACCGCAGAUCGUUGCAGACAUGGUUGCUGCCGCUGGUACCAUGGACAUUGCCAAAAAUGCUGUCCACCUGAAGAUCGUUGCAGACAUGGUUGCUGCCACUGGUACCAUGGACAUUGCCAAAGAUGCUGUCCACCUGCUGAGGAGACCCCUGAACAUCGUUGCAGACAUGGUUGCUGCCGCUGGUACCAUGGACAUUGCCAAAGAUGCUGUCCGCCUGCUGAGGAGACUUGCAGACAUGGUUGCUGCCACUGGUACCAUGGACAUUGCCAAAGAUGCUGUCGAACUGCUGAGCAGACCCCUGAAGCUACAUCCGGAGAUGAGGUAAAAAAUUAACGCUAAAUAAAUAAGGGCGUGACACAGGAUCCGUGACACCUAUAUUAUUACCUUAAUAUGUUAUGUUGUGUUUGCUUUUAAUGGUUGAUUUCCUAUAUGUGUAAAAGACUUGUGCGGCUUCUCUUUGAAUUGGUGUAGAAUCAACGGGGGAAGCAUGUAAUGAGUACUCAGUUCGAGUGCUCUUCUUAUGUUGUUGUCAUGUUGAAUAAAUAAAUCUACUUGAUCAUCUACUACAAUUGAUGAUGCUUUGACUUUACCUCGUAAACGUGUCAUUUCACAAAUCUCAGGUUUUCAAGCUAAGUCACUUCCUCUUCGAUAUCUUGGCUGUACUCUCUAUUCAGGGAGAAGGAAAAGCAGUUAUUUUUCAGAUAUCUGCACUUCAGUUGCUAAGAGAAUUCUGUCUUGGAAGGAGAAGCUUUUGUCAUCUGGAGGGAGGUUAGUGUUACUCAAAAAUGUUCUAUCAUCUUUGCCUAUUCAUGUCUUAGCUGCUACAACUCCUCCAAAGGGUGUUCUCCGCACCCUUGAGAAAGCAUUUGCAAAUUUUCUAUGGGGCACAACUGAUAAAGGGUCUCGGUAUCAUUGGAUUGCAUGGGAUUCAUUGUGUAAGCCGUAUGCCGAAGGGGGUGUGGGAGUGAGGGCUUUGACUGAUGUGUUUAAUGCCUUUUCAUUGAAGUUAUGGUGGUCUUUAAGGCAACGUCAGUCUCUUUGGGCAGAAUUUAUGUACAAUAAAUAUUUACAUAAAUUGCAUGCUUGCGAAGCGGAAUUUCAGCCUUUACAAUCGGUAACUUGGAAGAGAUUGGUUACAUAUCAGUCUUUGGCAAAUUCCCAUAUUCAAUGGGUGUUGCAGAAUGGCUUGAUAAACUUCUGGCAUGAGAAUUGGACUGGUACAGGUCCUUUAUGUCAGCAGAUCGACAUUUUUGGAGAUCACACAGUGGCGGAUUUUGUUUCAAAUGGUCAAUGGAACAUUCCAAUGCUUCGACAAUGGCUCCCAGAAAACAUUGUAUCUACGAUUCUACAAAUCAUUCCCCCGGAUGUUGUUUCUAAUCAACCUGAUAGGAUGGUGUGGGAUUUAGAAAUUUCUGGUUCAUUUUCCUUUUCUUCAGCCUAUAAGGUGGUCCGCACCGUUGCCAAUUCGUCAAUCUUUUCAUCUACCAUUUGGGUGAAAGACUUGCCAGCAAAAAUCUCAUUCUUUAUGAUGAGAAUGCUAUCUUGGAGACUGCCGGUUCUGGAUGUGUUGCAGCGCUUUGGUGUGUGCGGACCAUCUCGUUGCGUUUGCUGCCAAAAUCCUGGGUUUGAUUCUAUUGAUCAUGUUUUCUGUACAGGUGAAAUCCCUCGCCAAGUUUGGAAAUCGUUUCAGGUUGAUAUUGGCGAGUUUGUCACUCCUUCAACGGUAAAGCAUGCAGUCAUUCAAUGGUGGUUGCUGCCAGCUAAAAACAUUAAGCUUAAACUGGUUUAUCAGCUGCUGCCAUCGCUGAUUUGCUGGCAUCUUUGGAAAGCUAGGAAUACUGCGGUUUGGGAAGGCAAGGUGUUGUCGGUCAUGCAGAUUAAUACUUUUGUUCUUUCUGAUCUCUAUGACAUUUUCCAAUUACAUUUUACAGACAUUGGAGUUGGAAGGUACUCGUGGCCAUGUUUUUACUCUUCACUGGUGAGUUGGCAAAAACCAUUUAAAUUCAUCCUGGUUAGGUGGAUCCCUCCAGUCUUGACGACAUGUAAACUGAAUACCGAUGGUAGUUCUCUUGGUAAUCCGGGAAGGAGUGGCGGUGGGGGGGUUUUGAGAAAUAGCUCGGGGGUUUUUUUGUUGGGUUUUGCGUGUUAUUGGGGUGUCAUACCGAGUUUACAUUCAGAGUUGAAGGCUUUGUUAUUUGGAGUUAAGCUUUGUGUUAUGCGAGGUUUCUUUUGCUUGCAUUUGGAAUCAGAUUCGUCACUUCUUGUCCAAAUGGUUAAGGGGAUUAGUAGAUGUCCAUGGGAUUUGCAACGAGAGCUGGACCAAUUGCUCACUUUUAGGCAUUUCUUUCAAUCCGUCACUCAUUGUUAUCGUCAAGCGAAUUUGCCUGCAGACCGCUUAUCUAAGGUUGGAACUGAGUUAAAGUCCAACAUAGUGUAUGAUUCAUGGUUGGAAUUGCCACGAUUGGUUCGUGGAGACCUCAAGUUGGAUAGGUUAGGUUCUCCUAAUUUUCGGGUUUACUAAUCAUUUGGAUUUCUGGAAUGGGGUCUAGUUCAUCCACACAGAUUCAAGCGUUGUUGCUGUUACUGUUGUUUUGCUAUUGCUGCUGUUAUUUUUUGCUCUCUGGUUGAGCAAUUUCUUUCUUUUUGCACCUCUGUUUGGCAGAUGCUGAUGUAACGUGAUAUUUAUUUAUCAAUAAAAGGUAUAAGGUUUUUUUUAAAAAAAAAAAAAAAAGAUCUUCUUAUGUUUUUUUUCACUUUAUCUUCCUUCAAGAUUUUUGGUGGAAAUGCUUCAUUUAUACGAAUUUUCCUAGUUAGUAAAUGCUUCUAUUACACUUGUACAAUACACAUUUAAAAGUAUAACACAACAAAAGCUUGUGUAGUUCAUAUAUUUAAAAAAUAUUCAUACUUUUCAACUAAACUAUAAAAAUAUGUAAUAAAUUCUUUAUACAUUAUACUUUACGAACUAUACUUUAAAUUUUAAAAAUAUUUAAUAGUAUCACUUAUCAAUAACUCCACAUGUUAAUUUGUCUUCCAAUUCAGUAAAUUAUAGUAGCUAAUUCUCAAAGCUAACCGACACCAAAAUUCCCUCACUUGUUCAGCUCCUAGUGGAUUUAUAUUAAUUACAUUGCAUUUAUUUCCUAAGCAUGAGUUUUGUAACCCCUCAUAUUAAAUCUCAAUGAUUGAUUUUAACGGUUACCCAGGCGUCUAGUAAUUGGUUUGCUAUUAAUUUGAACUAGACAUUUAUUAGGUCUAGUAGAAUUUAUUCCUUCUUAUCACUUAGUUCAUAAACCUUACGAAUCGUUAAAACCAGCUCUAACAUCAGCUAACAAGACUUCUACAAUUUCGGGUUUUGCUUAGAAAUCAGUCUGAUAGGUUAACUUGCUUCGUCCAACUUUAUGAGUUGCUUCUUUUUUCUUUUUUUUUCCAUAUUUGACAUUUCAUCUUACUUUAAUAUGGGGACCAAGUUAGUAUUGUUGACAUUUCAUAUCUAAGACUUCUUAAUUAAUUGAUUUGUUAUAAGAACUAUAACGUAUGCGUGUUUUGUAAGCUUUCAUGUUUUUUUAUUUUUUCAAUUCUUGUGGACCAGCAACGGAUAGUUUCUUCUAGUACCAAUCUUCCUUUGAAGUUCUUUAAUUUUUUUUUUGUGUCCAAAUGUAAAUUAAAAGAACCAACAACUUUGAACAAGUCUAUAUCUAGUAAAGAUAGAUAUAAAGAGGGAUACUAUAUCACUGCAACAAAAAAGGGAUUUGGCGAGGAGCAAAAGUCCACGCCAAAAUUUUUGACUUCGUCGCCAAUUAAUUUCAGCGAGAAAAAUGCUUCCUCGUCAAGUUUCUUGCUAGAUGCUCAUCGCUAAAAGUUAUUAGAGAGGAUGUUGUUGCUUUUCUCGCUAAUGAAACAGAUCAAUAGCAAGGAUUGACCUCCUCGCCAAUCUGAUUCAAAUACUAUGGCGAGAAAAGCUUUCCUCACCACUAAAGUUAAAAACUCCCCACAAAAACCAGUAGUUCCUAGCAAAUAGUCAAGGUGUUCUGCUAGGAAAAAUAGCGCAUCCUUACCAAUAGUAUAGAAUUAGCAAGGAUUCUUUUGACAAAUCUGCAAUGCCUCGUGUACCAGUAAAACAUUUUUGGCCAGGAAAGUUUCCUCUCUAAUAAGCAAUAAUUGAUUAUUGUCUAACUGUUUGGUGGGAAAAUGUUCCUCUCCAAUGCUGUUAUGAACAUUUCUUAAUCCCAUUUAGCAUGCUAAUCUUAAUUCUCUGAGCAAAUUACUGGGUGGUUUUAUUAGAAAAUUUAGCUGCAAAUAGCUUCAAUUUGGCUUCUCAUGUGUCUGUUGUACAUUUUCCAGGUUCUUAUAAGUAUCAAAUUGUUUGGCAAAAUUUUUUUUUAAUGAAUCAUGACCAACGUAGCUGCUCAUUAAAUUUAAACUCAUAAGCCCUAGUAUUUGAUAGCUUUUUGGAAUAUCACUUGGUGCCAACAACCCCCUUUUGCUACUUUGAUAAACAUUCAAUAGAAAACAUACAAAAGCUUUGGUUAGCUAAAAAUAAUUGUUAGCAAAGUAAUACAUCAACAUCCAGCUCUUUCAACAUCUUGAGCCAUACAAAUAGGAAGUGCUUGAAAUCAAUUGGCAAUCCAAAUUUUUUUUAGCUCAUUAACCAUCCAAGAAAUCGCAACUUCAAUAAGUCAUUACAAAAGAAGAUUUCAUCAAGAGAACACCACAAAAAGGAGAAGCAGAAAAAAAAUAUAAGAGAGAGAGAGAGAGAGUUAAACUAGUCAUAUGGACACAUAUUUGUCACCUCAGUAUUUCCAAUUCCUUAAUUCAGUCCAGUUAUCUUGGAACUCUAUCGGCAAUCCAUGGAACAUUUUUUGAAUGACAAUAUGCUGUUGCAACCUUCUGGUGAAGACUUCAAAGGUUCUAUGAUAGGUUGCAUUUUUGUCAUUAAUUCUAUGAUUAUUUUCCUCAUUUAUAUUACCAAAUAUUGUAUUAAUUGAUUGAUUCUACUUAUAUUUGGUAUUUUGUGUCAAUUGUAGGAAGGUGGAGCAAAAAAUAAUAAAAGAGGUGAUUUUUCAAGAGUUUUCCAUUUCAAGAUGGAGUUUACGUGGAGUAUUGGAUGAAAAUUAGGAAACUACCACUUUUUAUUAGAUGUCUUAUUAGGGAACAAUUAGCAAUAGUUGGAGAAGUUUCCUUUUGCAAUUAGAAUUCUAUUUUUAGUUGGCCAAUGGACUGCCGAAAUAAUGGACUUCAAUUAGGAAACAAAGAGAGAAAAAAGGCCGGAAUCCCGCGUGAUUACUACCUUGGAGGGAACAAGAAAAAGGAGACGUCCGCUGGUCUCUUCUUUAGUGAGUCUUUUGGAAAAAACCAAUGGUUAUCGAUGGUGUCCUGCGGAUCUCUCCUGAUGAUGUGUAGCUAAAUCUCCGUUUUCUAGUCGAAUGUCAAUUUGAGGACUCGAUUCCAAACAUAUUUGAUAAGAGAAUAUUUAAUGUACAUUUUGUACAAGUUUGGCAUGAACUUUUGAUGUGUUUUGAGAAGAUUAAAGCCAUAUUUGAACUCUUUUGGUGAUAAAUGCUUAAAUAUUAUGUAAGUGUUCAAAACUUGAUAAAUGAGUGGAUUAAUGCGUUAAUUUUGUGAAAUUGUGAAGGAUAUUGAUAUAUGAAAUUCAUGCACGAGAUGAAGGAAAUGUAAGGAUCGUCUAGAGGAUAAAGUACAAAAGAAACUAGGAGCAAAAAUGAAGAAAAAGGAAAGAAGUGAAAAACUGGAAAUUGAUCAGCACAGAUUUGAGCUCGGAUCCGUGUGAACAAAGGGCGAUCCGAGCCCUCGUCUGCACUUCUGGAGCAGUGCAUCCGAGGCCAGACAAUCUGAGCUCGGAUUAUUAAGAGAAAGACCUCGGAUCAGCCUUGAUCCGAGCUCAGAUCGUAGUGCACACCUCGGAUCCAGGUCUCGGAUCUGCCUCUCUUCUGCAAGUGGCACGGCCGUUUUUUCUCAUUUUCACACAACUUUCCAGCUAUCUUGGGUGAGAGAAUUCGAUGGCACAUGCUUCUGCAACAAAAGGGAAGACAAAAUGAGUUAUUGAUAAGUCAAAACAACAUUUCUUUUGACUUUCUUUACAAAAUCUGAGUUGUUGGAAUCAUGAAGGAGAAGAAAGUGCCUUUCUACCACCUUUUAUGCAGAGAACUAAGGAGAAGUCAGGCAUCACCAUAUGGAGGAGUUUUUCAUCUUGUAACAUUUUUCUCUCUAGCUAGAAGUUCUAAAAACAAGCACUUGGAGAUUUCACUUGUAAUCAUCUUGUACAAGACAUAGCAAAAAUUUGAGGGUUUCACCAUUAAUUGGCUAAGCUUUUCUUUAUCUUUCUUGUACUUGUACUUUAUGAUGUUUUGCAUUAAUAAACUUGUGAGUUUGAUUGUUAUAUUAUUCAUGAGUAGCUAAAUUUCUUUAUCUAGAGAGUAGAUAAAUGAUAUGAAUUGAAUGUGAUUUACACUUGUUAUAUCUUGUAUUAACUUGUCUAUUUGUGCAGUUGUAAUUACUUGUUGUUGUUUGAUCACCAAUAGCAUGUUUAUAGUUGUUAUUAGUCAAUAAGAAUUGGUAGUAACAAUAGAAAAAAUAUGAGUAGAGCUUGAGUUGUAUGUUCAUGAAAAUAGAUGUACACUUAAGUGGAUUAGCUAGCAUUUCAUGAAGGAAAACAGAGUAGAACUGGUAGUUCACCAUGAAAAUAGGGAAAACUGGAUUACUCUAGGCCAUUUUAUCAUGAGAAUGAGAUUUGGCAAUAUUGAAAAUGAAUCCCUGGUUAAACAACAAUAAUAACAAGAGGUAAAUCUAUUCAUUUGUGUUGUUUAUACCAUAAGUGGAAUCUACAUCCCUAGAUUUAUUCUUGAGUGAAAUUUAUCCAUUUGCAUUUAGCAUUUGUUAAACUAGAUUUAUAGACAACAACAUUAUAAUUUCUCUGCUCAAAUUCAUUUAUAAGUCUAAAUAAUAGAGAAAAUAAGGGCCUAGUACUUAUUUAAAUUGCUCCUCGUGGGAUCGACUUGAUACAUACCUUACAUUACGAUUUCGACCUGUAUAGUUGCAGUCAACGGGUAUAAAAUCGAAUUCAAACUUGCAUUGAUAUAAAAAUCCCGUCACAUAUGUGAGAUCGAAUUAUUUUACUUAUUUCUUUUAUUCAUUGGUAUUUGUACAUUUUCUGAUUUAACUUCAUAUACUUGUUAUGUUAUUUGAAUGUCAAGGGCUCGAUAUUCGAAUUAACCUAAUAAUCUACUGUUAGAUUAAUUGAUUGAAUCCCUAAUUGUUCAAUUGAUUAAUACCAGUGGCAACUAGCGUGAUUAGUUUCAUGUUAAGGAAACAUAUGAUCUAACUUAAACGAACCCUCGUAGCGUGUUUGUUAAUUAAGGUUGGCUUUUCUAAUUCUUAUUGCAAUUGAGAAAUUAAAUCCUAUAGUCGUACCUAGGGUUAUUUCUUGGUUAGAAAAAUAGUUAAUGGUCGUACCUUAACUAUCGAAAAAGUAAGAAAAGAUUGGUUGUUUAUCGCGUGUAUAACAACUAUAACCAAUCUAUUAAUUAGUAAUUGAAUUAUCUUUGCAUCGAUGAUCAGUUGAAAGGACCAUGUCUGAAAAGUUGCACCUUUGGCUAGAGUUGUAUUGGUUAUUGAUUAAUUCCUGUUUAUUUCUAUUAGUUGUUUCAUUAGUUGAUUAAUUAGUUAUUUUAUAUUUUUCAAAAACCCCCCAUACUUCGGACUCUGGAAGAAAUGAAUUAUCCCCAAUCCCUGUAGAUUCGACCCUGCUCACCGCUAUAUACAAAUUUGUAUUUUUCUUGAGUAGGUAAUUAUUAUUGCACAUGUUCAACACCUGUCAUUCUAUAACUGUAUACAGAGUCAUCUUUUUCAAAGAUUUCCCAUGCUGCAAAAUGUACUCUACGAGCUUUAUUUCACCCUGUUCCUGAAGAGUUUGCUUGAUCCGAUAUACCCGAAUGGGAUGGUUAUUUCUUUCACAAAUAAUUAUGAAUUUGUAGACAGGGCAAGUAGGGUCGUAUCCACAGGGACUGGGUAUAUUUGUUUCUUAAGAAAUCCAAAAUAACAUAGGGGGGUGAUUUUGUAGGAACGACGACAAUAAAAUAAAUUCAAUUAAGAAAAUAAAAAUAAAUAACUAAUUAGAGAUUAAACAACAAUUCACUGAACUUAGAGUAAUAAUAAUUAAAGGCCUAAAUCAAUUAAAACAAGGAAGCAAUUAAAAAUAAAAUAAAGUAGGCAACUAAAAGUCAAAUGGCAAUUCACUGAAAUCAAGAUAAUAUUAAUUAAAGAUCUAUCCAAGAAAUAAUUUCAGCAAUGGUGCACCUAAUUGAUCAUUGAAGCAAAGGCAAUUCCAAUUAUUUAUCAAUAAAUAGGUUAUAACUACCAAACAAGCGAUGGCAGUCAACCCCUCCUUAUUGUGUCGGUGAUCAAGGUACGCCCGUUAACCACUAGUCUAAUUGAGAAAUAACCUUAGGUACGCCCGUAAGAUUUAAUUCCCCAAUUGCCUUACGUAUUAGAGGAGCCCUAUUCUAACCAAAUAACACACUACCAGAGUUAUUUCAGAUUAGCCCGCGUAUCCCCCUGACAUGAAUCUAAUCGUGCCAGUUGUCACUAUUUUAGGACAAUUAAACAAUUACGGAUUUAAUGCCCUAAUUGACAAAUGAGUACCAAAUCAAUUAAUUAUCUGGAUCCAAGACAAUCAAUUAAUUAAAUAACCAUAGGCAUAGUAAUUCAGGAAUAUACGAAUACCAAUAAAUAAAAGGGAAAGACUAAAAUUAAAUCGAUCUCACAAUUUUAGGCAAACCAAAGCCUCCGUUGUCCCUCGGUUAGAUUGAGAAAAUUAGCUCAUGUUCGAUGCGAAAAACCCACAAGAAAUUGUAAAGAGAGCCGCGGCCAUUGUCCCUUGAAAUUGGGGAAAUUCAAUUCGGUUCCAAUCAAGAAGGGAGGCAAGCUACAGAAAGUUAUCAAUUCAGUUUUGCUUGUCUCCCACAUACGAAGGGAAAAACUACUCUAAGAACCAGGGAAGAAAAGUCAAAAGUAAAGCUAUCCCCCUUUUCUCCUGACAUGCGCAGGAGAAGUCCUAAUCAAAAGCUUCAAAAGGAAGAAAAAAAUCUCAUGCUAAGCUAAAGCUAUCCGCCCCCUUCUUCUGUGCAGUUUUUUUCUUAUAUAGUCAGGCUCCGUGCGGCGGCUCCAGGGAGAAGAACGCUUUUGCCAAAAUGACCAAAAAGGCUCAUGUCCCUUCUUCCAAAAAUGCCCUUGCAAGCCUUCUAUUUAAUUUCUUUCCCGAUGACUGUCAAAGUGGCAUUGAUUGUGGUAUUUUUGAUCUACUCUCUGAAAUAAAUGCAAAUUAAGAAAAAUGAAUAGAAUCCAGCAAUUAAUCCACAUCAAGUCAGGUAAUAGGGGAAAUUAAUAAUAAAAUAAAUGAUAAAAUUGCAACCUAUCAUUAAGUAACAUUAGGAUGAUUGCUAUUUAAUUAAAAUUGUCCCACGGUUUAAUUUUGGUGAAGAACUUUUGCUUCUUUUGUUUCUAAAUCAUCAACACUGUGAUCCGUAAGUGGUAACCUUGGGGCUCAUAGAGAGAUGUUCUGCUAGUUCAAAUGGUUACUCUUUAACUCUUCUGUAUUGUCCAAACACUCAUUAAAUUCUAACAGCCAUUCCUUUUCAUUGUAAUGAUUGAUAUGAUUUUGCAACCUGGCAAGCUCUUUUUGAAGCUCAUGCUUUGUUAUAUCCUCAUGCAACAUUUUAGCUUUCACCUCAAAUUCUAUAGUAUUAGGCCUGAGAAUCCACACGUUCCACAACAUGUUAAGAGGAACAUCUUUGUCUGUUAUUUCAAAGUUGUGUGUGAAUUUUAAUAAUUAUGUUUGUGUCAAUAACUUGAUUAACCUAGAAGGAUUUUUUUUCAUGUUGGGUCAACUUGAUCUUCACAAAACUCCCUAUUAAUUAACCCUCAAACUUCUCAGGGGCCUUUGCAAGAUCCUCAACUAGAGUUCUUCUUAAAUAAAUAAGAUUAAUGUUUUCUUGAAUGAAUAUAGAAGAAUGACUUCUAGGAGUUCUUAAACCUGUAGUCUUUUGGUGUUAUUCCAUGCAUAGCAUCCUCAUCAAGUAAUUGUCAGUAUAUAGGCUUUUAGUUUUGUUAGGUGUUUGAAUGUUUCGUGCAUAAACUGUGCCAUUUAACUAGCUAAUAUAAUAAUGAAUAGCAAUUUACGAUUUUUAAAUUAACUUUAACUCUAUAAUUUGUUGCAAAAAUAUAUAUUACUCUAGAGUGAAAGUGUUGGGAAAGGGGUACCAGUAUAGGUACAAAAUAUCAGAGUUAGCCCAAGAUAAAUUUCUCUUUCCCCAAAUACCAGUUAAAAUAGGAAUAAACCAAAUCACCAAAUAAUAAUACCAGUAGUGAUAAUAAAAUGAAAGGAAAAAUAAAAGGCACAGGACACCAAGAUUUUUACGUGGAAAACCCAAUUGGGAAAAAUCACGAGACCUAAUCCAGUCAAAAACUUCACUAUCACAAUAAUGGGAAUACACAGGUCUAUCCGAAAUAUUCGGAUGAUAAUAAUAUCACCAAUACCAACCAAGCCAAUCUACUAUAAAAUCACCCCCAAAAACUACAACUGUCAAAGAAGUGAAUUUGGAAAGAUGUUACCAAACGAAGAGGAAAUCUAAAAUCUGAACCGAUACAUGAGUAGAGCUUGUCGAGAGGAUCACGUGUUUAAAAUUUCGUCUCAAUCGGGUUUCGAAUCGCCCUCCAAUCAAGACCUUGAAGUCUCUCUCUCUCUAGCCUUUCUCUCUCUUCGUCUCACUCAAGGAGGUGGCGACUGACCUUUUUUCUUCACACGAAAAUCGAAGAAAAGGAAUCAUUUCUUGCGGCUGCUGCUGCCUUUUUUUUUAUAUCACUUGAGAAACCCUCAAGUGUUAGUUAUGUGGGUUGGCCCACAAAUGGGCUGGCCCACGACAUCAACAAUCUCCCCCUCCAGCUCAUUUGGGGGGCUCCAUCAAGCCUGCUUCUUGUUUGCAAAACAAGAGUUUCUCCUUAGGCAAUGCUUUGGUAAACAUGUCAGCACCAUUAUCAUCUGUAUGCACUUUCUCAAGUGUCAACAACUUGGAAUCCAGUACUUCCCGAAUCCAAUGAUAUCUCACAUCAAUAUGUUUGGAUCGAGAGUGAAAUGUGAAGUUCUUACACAAAUGAAUAGCGCUCUGACUGUCACAGUAAAGACUAUACUUGUCUUGUUUCAUACCCAACUCCUGAAGGAAUUUCUACAACCAAAGAGUCUCCUUACAUGCUUCAGUAGUUGCAAUAUACUCUGCCUCCGUAUUAGAAAGAGCGAUACACUUCUGUAGCUUACUUUGCCAAGACACUGCUCCCCCUGCAAAAAUCAUUAAGUACCCAGAUGUGGACUUCCUAUUUUCAAGAUCACCUGCCAUAUCUGCAUCAGUGUAUCCAUCUAGCAUAGUUUUACCAUUGCCGAAACAUAGACACAAUCUAGGAGUUCCCUUGAGAUACCUAAGAAUCCAUUUGACAGCAUUCCAAUGCUCCUUACCAGGAUUAGAGAGAUACCGACUGACUAUUUCAACUGCAUGAGCAAUAUCUGGUCUGGUGCAAACCAUAGCAUACAUCAAGCUACCAACGGCCGAAGCAUAAGGAACCUUUUUCAUGUCUUCUUUAUCUUUCUCACUUGUAGGACACUGCUUGAUAUUCAGUUUAAAGUGACCUGCAAGUGGAGUUGAGACUUCCUUAGCAUUGCUCAUGUUAAACCUGUUGAGCACUUUCUCAAUGUAUUUUUCUUGAGACAACCAAAGCUUCCCAUUUUGCCUGUCUCGUGAGAUUUUCAUCCCCAAUAUCUGUCUAGCCGGACCCAAAUCUUUCAUUGCAAAGGAUUUACUUAACUCCUUUUUCAACCUGUCAAUCUUCACAGUAUCAAGACCAACAAUCAACAUGUCAUCAACAUAUAAUAAGAGAAUAACAAAAUCACCAUCUGAAAGGUUUUUCACAUAAACACAGUGAUCAGAUGUAGUCCUGUGGUACCCAUGGUCUGUCAUGAAGGAAUCAAACUUCUUAUACCAUUGUUUCGGUGCCUGUUUCAACCCAUACAAGCUCUUCUUGAGACGGCAUACAAGAUUUUUCUUGCCACUUUCUCUGAACCCCUCCAGUUACUCCAUGUAGAUCUCCUCUUCCAAGUCGCCAUGCAGGAAGGCUGUCUUCACAUCAAGUUGCUCGAUCUCCAAAUUCAAACUGGCUGCAAUACCAAGAACAACUCGAAUUGAGGACAUUUUUACCACAGGAGAGAAGAUUUCUUCAAAAUCUAUACCUUUCUUUUGACUGAAUCCCUUCACAACCAAUCUUGCUUUAUACUUUGGUUGUGAGGUGUGCUCCUGAGUUUUCAACCUGUAAACCCAUUUGUUCUUUAGAGCUCUCUUACCCUUAGAUAGUUUCACUAAAUCAUAAGUAUGAUUCUUAUGCAGGGACACCAUUUCCUCUUGCAUGACUCGCAACCAAUCUUCUUUGUUCUCAUGCUCUAAAGCCUCACAAUAUGACUCAGGCUCUCCUCCAUCUGUUAACAACAAAUAUUCAUGAGGAUUAUACCUGCUAGAAGGUCUCCUCUCUCUGGUAGAUCUCCUAAGCUCAUCUUGUGGUGGCGGUGGUGGUGUAGGUGGCUCCUCAUGUUCAGAUUCAUCAGCAGUAGGAUUAUUACCAUCAUUAAUAUCCUCUCUCUGCUCCGCCUCAGCUCCCCCUUGAUUAAAAUCAACAGGUACUGAAAUUGGAUCUGGAUCUGAAUUUGAGCUAGCAGGAAUGUCAUCUGAGAAUUUUGAGUUGUCACUUUUAUCAAUGUUUUCAAUGGUUUGAUCUUCAAAGAAGACAACAUCUCUACUCCUGAUCACUUUCUUCUCAAUAGGAUCAUACAACCUAUAACUAAAAUCUUCAAUUCCAUAAUCCAAGAAAAUGCAUUGCUUUGAUUUUACAUCAAGUUUUGACCUCUCAUCCUUGGGAAUAUGAACAAAUGCCCGGCAACUGAAAACUCUCAAAUGCUUAAAUGACACAUCUUUUCCUGUCCAUACCCUCUCUGGGAUAUCACCAUCCAGAGGGACUGAUGGAGAAAGAUUUAUCAAAUCAAUUGCAGUCCUCAUUGUCUCACCCCAAAAGGGUUUUGGCAAUUUAGCAUUAGAGAGCAUACAUCUAACCCGCUCAGUGAUGGAUCUGUUCAUCCUCUCUGCUACUCCAUUCUCUUGAGGAGUUUUCGGUACAGUUUUCUCCAAUCUGAUUCCAUGGGACUUGCAAUAGAUUUCAAAUGGUUCUCUGUACUCACCACCAUUAUCAGCACGUACACACUUUAACUGCUUACCAGUUUCUCUUUCAACUUUGCUAUGAAAGUCUUUAAACACAUCCAAAACCUGAUCUUUGGAUUUCAAAGUAAAACACCAAACCUUUCUAACAAAGUCAUCAAUAAAAGUAACAAAAUAAAUAGCACCACCAAGAGACUUAUCUUUCGUAUAGCAAACAUCAGUGUGCACCAAUUCUAAAACAUUUAAUUUCCUAGAUGGAGGAAAAUUUUUGAAUGCAACUCUGUGUUGUUUUCUAUAAAUGCAGUCAACACAAGGUUUAAGUGCAUUACCUCUAAUUUCAGGUAGGAGCUGUUUGCGAACAAGUGUCUGAAUCCCCUUUUCACCCAUGUGUCCAAGUCGCCUAUGCCAAAGGUCAAUUGAGGAAUCACGAACUGCGUUCACUUCUCCCUUCCUCAACUUGGCAUGCAUCACGUAGAGGGUACUGUACUUCUUUUCUCUGGCAACAACGAGAUUUCCUUUGCUGAGUUUCCGUUUGCCUCCACCUUGCGAGCUAUAGUAGCCCUUAUCGUCCAGUUUUCCUAUAGAAAUAAAGUUAAGUCGAAUAUCAGGAACAUGUCGAAUAUUUCUCAAUAUCAGCUGACACCCGGUAUCUGUGUCCAAGUAUAUGUCUCCCAUGCCAACAACUUUGCAUGAGAUCUCAUUUCCCAUCCCAACACAUCCGAAAUCUCCUUCGUUUUAGGUUGAGAAGAAAUGCCUGUGAGAAGUAACAAGGUAGGAUGCACCUGAAUCAACUACCCAAUCACUGUCAUAGUGAAUAAUAUUCACCUAACCAUCAUCACAGAACACAAACAUGUCAUCAUGAGCUGCCACAACUGCUGUAGUAUCCUCAUUAUCUUUUUCCUUCGCCUUACCCUUUUUCUCAGCCUGAUCCCGUUUUAGGAUUCUACACUCCUUCAUAUAAUGUCCAUUCUUUUUACAAUAAUAGCAUGCAACAUUUUUUCGCGACUCAGAUCUGUCUCUGGAUUUGUCAUUCCUGUUGUGGGGUUCUCUACUUUUGUUUCUUCCUCUUCUUUCUUUCUUUUCUGUCACCAGGGCCUGGGACUCAUAGACAAUUCCUUGUUCCUUCCUCCUGAAGUCUUCAUUCAUCACGGCCUCUUUUGCAAUAGUCAUGGUCAACACACCAUUCGGAGCUGAAUUACUGAUGGAGACCACCAUGGUUUCCCAACUAUCCGGUAUUGAACUGAAUAAUAAUAAAGCCUGCAUUUCAUCAUCCAGAUUCAAAUUUAAUGUAGUUGCCUGGUUUAUCAAUCCCUGAAAGUUACUCAAGUGUUCAGUCAUAUCUUCCCCAUUCUUAUAUCUCAUUCGAGUAAUCUGCUUCAGACAACUAGUCUUUCUUUCAUACAUACUCUCAAGCCUUUUCCAUAAUAUAUCAGCUCUGGUGUCAUUAGCAAAAUGUUGAAAAAUACUUUGACCAAUCCAUUUUCUAAUAUUACCAACAGUUUUCCUGUACAUAUUAGCCCAUUUUUCAUCACUCAUAUCACUUGGUUUACAUUUAUCCCCUAGAACAAGUUCAAACAAAUCUCUACAAUACAGGUAGUCUUCCAUUCUAGGCUUCCAAAUCAAAUAGUUAGUAGCGUUCAAUUUUAUUAUGCAACCACUAUCCGAAUCAUCCAUUUUUUAACAGGUACAAUUGAGCAGUCCAACCUGACUGCUCUGAUACCACUUGUUGGGAAAGGGGUACCAGUAUAGGUACAAAAUAUCAGAGUUAGCCCAAGAUAAAUUUCUCUUUCCCCAAGUACCAGUUAAAAUAGGAAUAAACUAAAUCACCAAAUAAUAAUACCAGCAGUGAUAAUAAAAUGCAAGGAAAAAUAAAAGGCACAGGACACCAAGAUUUUUACGUGAAAAAUCCAAUUGGAAAAAAUCACGGGACCUAGUCCAGUCAAAAACUCCACUAUCACAAUAAUGGGAAUACACAGGUCUACCCGAAAUAUUCGGAUAAUAAUAAUAUCACCAAUACCAACCAAGCCAAUCUGCUAUAAAAUCACCCCCAAAAACUACAACUGUCAAAGAAGUGAGUUUGGAAAGGUGUUACCAAACGAAGAGAAAAUCUGAAAUCUGAACCGAUAGAUGAGUAGACCUUGUCGAGAAGAUCACGUGUGUAAAAUUUCGUCUCAAUCGGGUUUUGAAUCGCCCUCCAAUCAAGACCUUGAAGUCUCUCUCUCUCUAGCCUUUCUCUCUCUUCGUCUCACUCAAGGAGGUGGCGGCUGACCUUUUUUCUUCACACGAAGACUGAAGAAAAGGAAUCACUUCUUGCGGCUGCUGCUGCCUUUUUUUUCAUAUCACUUGAGAAACCCUCAAGUGUUAUUUAUUUGGGUUGGCCCACAAAUGGGCUGGCCCACGGCAUCAACAGAAAGUAUGUUAAAAUUGGAAAAAAAAUUGAUAAACAUAUUCAUAUUAAUGGUUUUUGGAAAUUUACCUCCUCAAUUAUCUAUAAAUAUGAAAAUUGUUGUUUAAUGUCUGUAAUCUAUCAUAUCUUUAUCUAAUAUUCGUAUAUUUGAUUGAAAUUUAUUCAAUCACGUAUACCAUCAAUCUAGUGGCAUUUAAAACAAGAAAGUGUAUAACUACUCAAACAGUACGGUGUUAUUUGAUAUAGUAUCCAAAAAAUGCAUCUAUUUCAUAAAUUUAAUUUUUCAACAAUAUUAAAUAGUUCUCCUAUUUGAGUUUCGCUAUAUGAGUUGUAUUAGCACUUCUCAUAUCAAGUGCUAUGCUUGUUCAUGUUUUGAAUUUGUAGGUCAUAACGCAUAAGCAUCAGCUCGUCUGGCCUCUCUUGCUGUACAGGAUUCCAUUCUUUAGUAAGGAUAUUUCCAUCAGUGCUCCUCUUCAAGUCAUAUUUUGUAGCACCAUUAUAUGUCUGACUAAGAAUUUGAAUGGAAAAUUGUUGGACGCCAGAGUGCAAUUGGUCAGUCACAGGCAAGGCCUACCUUUUCUCCGAGUUGCAAAGGUGAUUAGAGCACCAUCCAUUUUUAAAUAUCAGUUUCUGCUUUGUCCACCGAGUCAACUGAUACGAAUUCUAGGUAUUCUUGUAAACUUUUGUCUUUUUGCUGGUGAACGGAUUUGCUUUAUUAUAUUUCUACAAUCUGCUUGUCCUUGAAAUUUUACCUGUUGAUCUUUUCCCUUGCACUUUUAUCCACUAUUAUGCUACAUGUAAUUCAAUGGUUGAAAAUUAUAGAGUAUGCUUCAACCUUACUAGUGUUUUGAUAUUUGCAACAAACUAAUGAAUGAUUGAUGCAUGGUAGUUGGAGUUAAAAAAGGAACGCUUGCCAUCUCUUCGGUGUCUAAUUUUGGUGCUUUGUUAUUUGGCCAACCAUUUGCUAACAGACAAAACUUGGUAUAGAGACAAUUCAAAUUCUUGGAAUUUUGACACCUCUUUAUUCGACAGACAGUUAAGGUGAUUAUAAUUCUUAUAUGUUUGCUAUUAUUGAAAGAAUGAGCUACAUUUUCCAGUAUCCAGUGGUUUCAUUGAUGGUACGAGAUGUUUUGAGUAUUCCUGUUACUACUGGCUUUAGAGUCUACUUUCAGCAUUGAUGGUCAGAUUAUCAACAAAUACUGAAGUACCAUCUUGAGAUCUUCAUGUGGUCUUCAAAACAGUUGAAAGAAACAUUUUCUACAAGUUCUCUUGUUUAAAGACCAAAUUCUGUAGAAUUAAGAAAAGGAUUUGUGAACUUGAACUUGAACUUGGGCAGUCUAACCAGGUAAUUGAUGGACAAAACUGUGUAAUCUCUAAGAAGUUUCAGAAUAAUCAGAUGGCAUGCAUAAUUCUUGUGGCAGUUUUUGCUUGAUACGGUGUCUCUUUAAUUACUUCCAUUGUUUCCUAUUUCUCUAACAUAUGUACAUUGAUAAGUUUGUUAAAUGCAACCAUUGGGAUUGACCCAAUAGUCAGGGGAAAACUCUUGAAGUUUUCUUUGUUACAAGAUUCAGAAUUCGAACUUUUUGCCUGGUAGUUGAGGUUAGGAAGGGUAUGGGGAAAGAUGGGAAGGGAAAAAAAAGAUAAGUAUGUUAAAUGCACUUAUAUAAUAAAUAUAAGUAUGUUGAUGGUGCAUUUAUAAUCUACUAAAAAGGCACAUAUUCUACUAGAAAAAGCACGUGCGCUACACUUGAUUUUGCUAAACAAAAUAAAAGUAUGUGCUAAGCAUAUAUGAUAUAAGGAUUGAUCUUAUUUAUGGAGAUUUCGUAAAUAUUCUAUUUCAGAAGUAAAAAAUUAAACACAAUCGGAAUUUUCUUUUUUCUUUUUCAAAAUUAGAUGUAGUUAUUAAUUCAGAUCUGGCAUGUACACAAUGAAAACUAAAGGAUGGUAAAACCUGAUAUUGAUGACUUACACACGUUUAUAUCUCUGCUCCUAUUUCUUGAAAUGCUUAGCUGUACAAAUUGUGGGAGUUUCAACAUGUCAAGCUGAUGUUUAAGAGACUAGUAUGUAGAAAUUGUUAGUUGCUCAAAUUUGUAUUUGAUACUACAGUUAUUCAAAGUUAUUAAUUGUAAUGUGCCUUUUCGUGAUCCCCCUAAGUUCCCACAUCAAUUUGUGGCCAACCGUUAGAUUUGGGGCAUUAUGCUUCCACAUUGGGUGAGUUUGGACCGGUGGUGCUAUGGUUCAAAAUAUGCAAGGGAAUACAAGAGCUAAGUGUUUUAAUCCCACGUCAAAUGGGAAGAAAUGAAAAGGAUUGGAAAAUAAGCUCAAGGUAUAUGGGGUAAUAAUAAAUUGGUUAAUGACCUUUUUGCUGAGGUUUCUGUCCAGAAAGUCAUUGGGUUGGUGCUUAGACAUAGAGCAUUACACUUUUCUUCCUACCAAUGCCUCAAAUCUAAAUUAAAUUUGUGUCUAAGAAGAUUUUGGAAAAAGUUCUGACUCAGAACAUUUAUUUUCAUGAUGAACUAUAUUGCACAUUAGUAGAAGAAGAUUUUGGAAAAGUUUCUGACUGAGAGCAUCUAUUCCCAUGACAGACUCUGUUAAUUUAGUGUCAGAAAUGAUGUGGUAAUCCAAAUCCGGCAUAUAUAUAGGCUAAUUUUUGCUAGGCAUCUACUAAAGUGAUUUGAUGAUUUUGAUAGAUCCCUGCCGACUAUUCAUUUUAAAAAAGGCUAGGUUAGUGAACUCAUCUAUUUUCCAUUUUAAGGGCCUCCUUAAGUAGUCUUCUUUAGUGCAAUACUUAUCCAGAAGUGCAUGAAAUUCAAUACUUAUUAUGCAAUCUGUGUUAUUAUUUUAAGUCUGUUGUAAAUUUUUGUUUUAAAGAUCAUAAAUGUUUGGUGCAUGAAUAAUAUAUUGAUUUGGCAAUAUUUAGAUUUUCGAAGUUGGCAUUUCACUUUAAAAUGUUUUGGAGAAUUCUUGUUGCAUUGCUUGAAAAACUUUGCUAUAAAAAAGAUUGUUUUGUGUCUAUUGAUCACUCCAAGGAUUGUAAAGUAUGCCUCCUUGAACUUAUGUUAUGAAUCUCAAGGACUGAAGUGGAAAGAAACUUUUAGUUCAGGGGGGAAAUUGUAAUUCAAUUGCUUUUUGACUAAUAAGAGUAGAAUUGGUUGGGCAGGAAAAGUAGCUAGCAAGGAAUAACCAACAUUGCUGACGUGGCCAGUUUGUUAGAAAGUAUUUACGGGAAUCAACUUGCUGUAUGUACUAGAUGGCCAACAGAAGAAUGUAGGCAAUGAGUUGUACCAUUUUCUUUUUCUUGGAUCUGAAUAAACUCUCUUUCUCUCUCUUCUUCUUACUGUCUCAUUUCCUUCCUUCUCUUUUCUUCCGGCUCAAGACAUAAAACUAUUCUUGGGAGACGAGAAUUUUUUAGGAGCACUGGUGACUAGUCUUGUGGGGAGAAAAACAACGAGCCUGUCCUCUUUGUCUUUUUUUUUUCUUUCGUUUUCUAUUUUACUGGAUGCUUAUGCAAUUUACUUCAAUUAAAUUGUGUUGCUUGAUCCCGAUGAUGUGCAACUAAAUUUUCCAUUUCUAGCCAAGGAAUAACGUGGAUUUGGGUCAUCAACAAUUGUGAGAUCUAACUAUUUUUAUUUUUUUCUUUUAUUCGUUAGCAUUCGUAUAUUUUCUGGUUUAAUUACUCAUGGGUGUUAGUUGUUUGAAUAUCAAAAGCAUAUAUUUAAAUCAAGCUAACGAACUAUUGCCAGUUAAGACAGUUUGGCAGUUAGGAAUUAAUCAAAGAGAUGGCUGAGAACUCCCAACAGUUUGGCACAAGAGAGGACGUUUCAAGUUAUCGUGUGAAUGAGGUGAGCAUUUCAUCGAUGCAAGAGCAAUUGGUUGAGUUAAUUUCUAUGUUUCGCCAAAUAGCAAUGGGGAAGGUGCAACAAGUCAAGAAAUGUGAAAUUUGCAAGGAUGUAAACCAUCCCACCGAUGAAUGCCUAAUGCUACAAGAUGAUAACACAAAACAAGUAAACAUGGGUAGGUACGUACCCGUGCCCUGUAGGCAGUAUAACCCUUACUCCAACACAUAUAAUCCGGGUUGGAGGGACCACCCAAACUUUAAUUAUGGGGGAAAUAAGCAAAAUUUGGUCCCCAAUAGACAGCAAGGGUUUCAGCCACGACAAUCAUCAAGACCCCAACCCUCUUCAUCUCAUUUGAACACGUCUCUUGAAGAUAUAGUCAAGACGUUGGUCGCUAAUACCUUGCAAUUUCAAUAGAAGACAGAGGCAAGCAUACAAGAUCUCAAAACUUAGAUAAGUCAGAUGGCCUUUUCGAUGAACCGUCUGGAGUUUCAAGGGCAAAGAAGACUACCUUCUCAACUUGAGGUGAAUCUAAAGAACAUAAAUGUCAUGACCCUCAAAAGUGGAAAUGAAGUUGAAGGGCCAAAACCUAUAGUUCCUAAGGACAAGAGCAAAGAUCAAAUUGAAAAGGAGUUGAAAGAAGAAGGAAUAAGCAAGCUAACUCCUGAGGUAAUUUCAACCUCUUUAUUUAAAACUAAUACUAACCUACCACCUUUCUCUAGUAGGUUGGAGAAGCCAAAAAUGCAGGAUAAGAAGAAGGAGAUCUUAUAGGUGUUCAAGAAGGAGAAGAUAAACAUCCCUCUAUUGGAUGCAAUUAAGCAAGUGCCCAAAUAUGCCAAAUUUCUAAAGGAUUUAUACGUCGAUUGAAAGAAAUUGAGAGGCGAUGAAAGAAUUGUGAUGAGGGAGAAUGUUUUAGCUGUGUUACAAAAGAAACUUCCACCCAAAUGUGAAGACUCAAGUAUGUUUUAUAUCCCUCAUCGUAUUGAAAAUACUAAGACCAGAAAGACUAUACUAGAUCUAGGAGUUUCCAUUAAUGUGAUGCCGAAAAAUAUCUAUACCUCCUUAAACCUAGGACCUUUAAAGGAAACAGGCAUUAUAAUUCAGCUAGCCGAUCGGACUAAUGCAUAUCCUGAUGGAUUAGUUGAAGAUUUUUCAGUUCAGAUUAAUGAAUUAGUAUUUUCAACUAACUUUCAUUUGCUUUACAUGAAUGAUAAGCGUUCACUAAAUUCAUCACCUGUUAUACUAGGGAGACCCUUUUUGAGUAUAGUCGAAACAGAAAUAAAUGUCAAACAGGGCACACUUACAAUGAAAUUUGAUGGGGAGGUGAUCCAUUUCAGUAUAUUUAAAACCACGAAAUACCUAUCUGACUCCCAUACUAUUUUUGCCAUGAGUGUAAUUGACCCUGUGGUAUAGAAAAUUUUUGAGAUUGAUGACAGGGAUGAACUAGAAGUUGUUCUCACCAAAUAUCUUGAGUUGGGGACAACCUAUGAUGUGGCGUUGAGUGAGGAGUUGAAAUGCAUAGUUAGAGCACUACAGUCAAUGGCACCUACUAUAAUAAGGUAUGAACUUGCACUACUCUUUAUACCCGAUUCUAAUCAAAGGUUGCUACCUUCAGUGAUGCAAGCACCUGAAGUGGAAUUGAAAACCCUGCUGGGUCAUUUGAAGUAUACAUUCUUGGGUGAUAAAAAUAUUUUUCCAAUUAUCAUUUCUGCCACCUAAUCAAGAGGACAGGUUGAUCCGAAUCCUUAGGAACCACAAAGAGGUGAUAGGAUGGAUAAUAACUGACAUUAAAGGCAUAAGUCCCUCUGUGUGCAUGCAUAGAAUAUGGCAUAAAGAAGGUGCAAAGCCUGUAAGACAAGCACAUAGACGGCUAAAUUCCCUAAUGAUGGAAGUGGUAAAAAAGAAAAUACUCAAGUUUCUAGAUGUGGGGAUGAUUUAUGCCAUCUUUGAUAGCCUAUGGGUGAACCCAGUGUAAAUGGUUUCAAAGGAGGCAGGAGUCACAAUUGAAGUCAAUCAUGAUGGGGAGCUUGUUCUUGCUCACAAAUCAACGAGAUGGCGCCAGUGCGUCGAUUAUCGGAAACUAAAUGCAAUCACAAAAAAGGAUCAUUAUUCUCUUUCUUUCAUUGAUCAAAUCAUUGAAAAAUUAACUUAUCGUGGUUAAUACUGUUCUCUUGAUGAUUUUUUAGGGUAUUUUCAAAUUGGAAUAGUACUGGAGGACUAGGAGAAAACUCCUUUCACAUGCCCAUUCAAUACCUUCGUAUAUAGAAGAAUGCCCUUUGAAUUGUGUAAAACUCCCGCAACCUUUUAGAAGUGUAUGGUAAGUAUUUUCUCCGAAUAUGUUGAGAAAAUAAUAGAGGUCUUUAUGGAUGAUUCCGUGUCUAUGGUGAUUGAUAAGUGCAUAUUUUACGUGUUUUAAGUGUGUUUUAUUAGUUAGUUUUGGUGUGUUUUAUUAGUUAGUUUUGGUGUGUUUUAUUUAGUUUUAUAACUAAUUAACUAAGUUACUAGUGAAAAUAUGCAUUUUGUGGUUUAAAGUGUGAAAGUUGCAUUUCUGUGGAUUUUAAUGGUAAAAACUUCAUGUUUUUAUAGAUUUAAUGAUUCAAUCAUCAAAUACCAUGAAUUGAGAAGAUAAUUGGAUGAUUGAUGAUGGUUUGAAAUGAUAAAAAAGAGAAUAUAAAACGCAAGAGAUGAAAUGCAAUUAAAGGAAGUUUUCUAGCUUUGACACCUUGUGGUAUUUCGGGUAUAUCUUAAGUCACAAACAUUGGAUUGAGGUGAUUCUUGAACCAUUUUGAAGAUAACCAAUAGAUCUAUAUUUAAUAUGAGACAUCGAAGUCCAGUUCAAUUGUUUUCAUUGUCAAAAAAUUGAAAUAUAGAACUGCAUUUUCAUGAUCGAAAGGUGAAACAGAACUCUGACCAGUUAAGGGUAUUUUAGUUAUUUUUCGGUCCACAGAGCUCCAAAUUGGAUGAUUAUUGAGGCAUUGGAAAGCUAACUCAAAAGAUACAACUUUCAUGUUUUCCAUAAGAGCUAAUUUAGCCUCCAUCAUUGAGAAAAUAUCAGUUGAAAUUGGACAAAAAAUAGAGUCAAGAUGAAUUCUACCCAGAAAGUGCAAACCUGCAAAAGUAAUAACGCGUAGACAAUUCACAACCUAAGGUCGCUCCAAUUUCGGCUGCAACUUGCUCUUCAACUUGUGUUAUGUUCAAGCAAGCUUUUUGACCUAUUUUCUUGCAAGAAUUUUGGUGGAAAGUGACCAAGAUAGCUGCCAAAGAAGCUUUACAACUCAAAUCUAGCUUGUUUAUGGUCUUAAGAGGAAUCUUAACAUGAUUUAACACUUUGUCUUUUGCAUGGAAUUCCUCUAUAAAUAGCAAUCUUUGGAGACUAUUUUCACAACUUUGGAAGGCUAGAAAAAUUUCACAAAAAUGUAGUUUUCACUAGAGUUUUCUUAGUUCAUUAGUUAGGGUAGUAUAGUAUAGUUAGAAUAGUUUAUCUUUCUUGUAUUUAUAGUUUGAUUUGGAUGAAAAUUUGAAAAGCAAAGAUGGAGAGAUAGAACUCAUGUGACAGGAGUGAUUUCUCUCCUUUCCCUUUCUCUUUUGUAUUUAAGUUCAUGUUUAACUAUAAUACAAGUUUGGAUCUUGUUUUCAUGUUUUGCUAAAGUUUAUGCCUAGAGUUAUGGAUGAACUUUCUAUAUCUUGUUAGUGAUAUUUACUUGGUUAUUUGAUGAUAUUAUUUUGAACAAGUUAUUUAUCACUUUUGCUUAUUUAAUCAUGAUUAACCAGCCAUUAAUUGUGAUAAUCUUAAGGUGUUAAGUUUGCAAUGAGAAUUGAAUUUAACACUAGUUCAAGGAAGUGAUAAACCUAGGGAGUACACUCACGAGAGUAGAGGUGCACUUUUGUGGCUUUAGUGACUUGUUUCAUGUCAUUUCAUAGAAGAAAUAAACUUGUAGUUAAUUUCAUAAAUACGAGAGUAGGUACGGUUUAGCUAUAAGUAUAGUUGAUUCACCACGAGAGUAGGUUUCACAUACAUUAAGAAAUUACGCCAUAACUAGCCAAGAUAAUAGCAUUCACUUAACCGGUAACUUCAUUUGCAAGAAUAGUAAGGAAUUCCAUACCUCUAGGAGUUUCCUAUUGUAUUUUUGUUACUUUUAUAGUGUAGAUUUAAUUUAUUGCACUAGUGAUAGUCUAAAUAAUAAAGGAGUUCGAAAAACAUCGGUAAUUGAUAAUUUUCUCUGUGGGAUCGACACCUAAUACCCCUAUACUCAAUAAACAACUCGUAUACUUGCAAAAAAUCAUGUGUGGGGUAUUUAGGAUUUAUAAAUGUAAAAUUUGAUUGUGGAAUGAACUAAUUGUUAUGUGUAUACCCCGCGCUCGUCAGUGAUAGAUUUGAUGAGUGACUUAAGAAUUUGACUCUAAUUGUUCAAAGAUGCAUCAAAACUAAUCUUGUAUUCAAUUAAAAAAAAUGUCAUUCUAUGGUUGAGUACGGAAUAGUUCUAGGUCAUGUCGUAUCAUCUAAGGGUAUUGAAGUUGAUAAUGCAAAAAUAGACCUUAUAUCUUCCUUACCGUACCCCACUAAUCUGCGAAAAGUAUGUUCCUUUUUGGGACAUGUAGGUUUUUAUUGGAGAUUCAUCAAGGACUUCUAAAAACUUGGAACACCAUUGUUUAGACUCUUGCAAAAGGACGUAACAUUUAAUUUUGAUGAGAAAUGCAAGAAGGCGUUUGAUUGUUUAAAGGAGUUGUUGAUUUCCCCACAUAUCAUCAUAUAACAUCCAGACUGAAAUCUCCCAUUCGAGAUCAUGUAUAAUGCAAGUGACAGUGCAAUAGGGGCGUUACUGGGCCAAAGGACCGGAAAGGCUGCACAUGCAAUCUAUUAUGCAUCUAAGGCUUUGAAUGGAACUCAACUCAAUUAUACAAUCACAGAAAAUGAGCUUUUAGCAGUUAUUUUUGCUUUAGAAAAAUUUCGUUCUUAUUUAUUAGAAGAUAAAGUUAUUGUGUAUUCUGACUAUACAGCGCUAUGGUACUUGAUGACCAAGAAGGAUGCUAAACCAAAGUUGAUAAGAUGGAUUUUGCUUUUAUAUGAGUUCAAUUUGAAAAUUCAUGAUAAAAAGGGAGGAGAGAAUUUAGUUGCCGAUCAUUUUAGUCGAUUGCCUAUUGUUAAGGAUGAUUUUAUAUUGAGGAAAACUUUUCCUAAUGAGCAACUAUUUUUUACUAAUCCCUCUCGUCCUUGGUAUGCGGAUAUUAUUAAUUUCUUGACCACUAAUCAAUUGCUUGCACAUUGGUCGAAAACAAAAUGAGAUAAGCUCAAAUGUGAUGCUAAGUAUUACUUAUGGAAUGACCCCUAUUUAUAGAGGCAAUGUGCAGAUCAAGUACUGCGUAGAUGUGUAAUUGAGAGUGAAUUUAAUUUAAUUUUAACAUUUUAUCACUCUUAUGCAUGUGGAGACCAAUUUAGACCACAAAGAAUAGCUCGUAAAGUAUUAGAAAGCGAUUUUUAUUGGCCUACAAUUUUCAAAGAUACAUACUUGUUUUGUAUGUCAUGUUAUAGAUGUCAAAGGAUAGGAAAUAUUUCUCAUAGAAACUAGAUGCUACAAAUCCCUAUGAUUUUUUGUGAAAUUUUUGAUGCAUGGGGUAUUGAUUUUAUGGGUCCAUUUCCUUUGUCUUUUGGUUUCCUUUACAUUUUGUUGGCCAUAGAUUAUGUGUCGAAGUAAAUGAAAACAAAAACCACACGAACUAAUGAUUCUAAAGUGGUUGCAUAUUUCAUUCAAUCAUAUAUUUUUGUUCGUUUUGGGGUACCACGAAUUAUAGUAAGUGAUUGAGAAAAACAGUUUUGCAAUAAAAUGUUGACGGCUCUAUUUCGUAAAUAUGGAGUGACUCAUAAGGUAUUUACAUCCUAUCACCCCAAACGAAUGGUCAAGUGAAAAUUUCGAAUAGGGAAAUUAAAUAUAUAUUGGAGAAGAUGGUUCGUCCCGAUAGGAAUGAUUGGAGUUCAUAAUUGAACGAUGUACUCUGGAUUUAUAGGAUAGCCUAUAAGACUCCUAUAAGUAUAUCUCCCUAUAGGUUGGUAUUUGAGAAGCCGUGUCAUUCAUCGGUUGAGCUCGAGCACAAAGCAUAUUGGGGGAUCAAGAAAUGUAACAUGGAUCUUGAUGAGGUUGAAAUACACAGAAAACUCCAAUUACAAGAAUUGAAAGAGUUGAAGAAUGAUACUUACGAGAAUGCAACACUAUAUAAAGAGAAGAUUAAGGUUUUUCAUGACCAAUAAGUUGCAAGGUAAUCAUUUAUAGUUGGGCAAAGAGUUCUUCUCUAUCAAUCUUGUCUAAAGCUCUUGCUAGGUAAGUUGUGCUCUCGUUGGGUUAGUCCAUUUGUUGUGAUUAAUAUUUUUCACUAUGGUGCUAUGGAAAUUCAGAGUAUGCAGACAGAUAAGAAAUUUGUCGUUAAUGGCCAUCAUUUUAAACCCUAUUAUGAAAGUGUUUCAAUGGAGAAUGUGGAGAUAAUAAAUCUUGAAGAUCCCACUUAUGCUGCUUGAGCAAUAUUCGACCAUGUCUAACCAAAGAGGUUAAAAAAAGACGCUUAUUGGGAGGCAAUCAAAUUCUUUUUUUAUUGUUUGUUCACUAAUAUUAUGUGUUUCACUAUGUUUAUCUUAGGUUUUGGUAUUUUAAUUUUAAUUUUUAAUGUUUUAUUGGUUAGAAGACUUUCUCCCAACAAGACGUGCCCACGCCUUAAGGGUACGUGGUAAUGCACAAAUAUCCAAUUCCAUCAUCAGAAAACUAUGGACCAACAUAAUGUGCCCACGUCUUGAGGGUAUGUUGUAAUUCAUAAUUAGCCAACUUUAUCAUCAAAAGAGUUUCAACCAAUAAGACGUGCCCAUGUCUUGUCCUAGCAAGGGAAAAAAAACAAAUUGAACCCAAAAGAAUUUUUUUCUUUCCUUUGUCUUUUCCCUUUUCUAUUUCUUUUCCUUUCCUUCUUUCUUUCUUUGUUCUUUCUUUUUUUCUUUCUUUAUUUCGCUCUUUCUUUUCCCCAGCCGCACGGCCAAAACUCUAUUUGCUGCUUGCCUACCAUCCACUGUUGUUGCCAUUCGCUAGUUUGUCUCUGCUACCAUUGCUAUCAUCGCCGUUCGUCUAAGCCUAUCGCUGGUUUCGCCGUCGCCCGUCUCUAGUUUUGCCGUCGCUUGCUACUGUGCCAUUCACCGCUGCUCGCGCUGCCAUGAACGUCCAUCCUCUGCCAGCGACAGCCAUCGCUCCGCACUUUCUCUGUUGUCUUGUUUCUACUGACCCAAUUUUUGGUAUUCUUGUCCUUCUCUUUUAAAUAUUGUUGGGUUGCUACUUCGGAGUUUAUUAGAAUUUCUUUUUGCAGGGUUGAUUUAAUUUGUUGAUUGGGUAUUCCUCGAAUUGUUGGAUUGGCACUACCUGACAUCUGCUUGUUUUCUGAUGAUGACCACUAACUUGCACUACUAUUUUGCAUCCAUGGGGAUUCAAUGCUGAUUGGAGGUUAUAAACUGUGGUGAAAUUGCCGCUACUUACUUGCCAAUUGCUGAUUGUUGAUCUUGAUAGGGGGUAUUGUUCUUACAUUUCUUGUUUUGUUAUUAAAUAGUGUCACAUCUUUGGGCUCUUUACUGUACACUUUGAUUUGAGAUUGCUUGGCUAUCUUUAGUCGUUUGGCAUACAUUAGAGGCUUGUAUUUCGCCAUUGUCUGACGUUGUUUACUGCUAUUUUUGGAUUCAGUUAUCUAAAUGGCGAAGAAAAAAAAGACCACUAACGCCAAGACCCCUACGACUAAAACCACUCCCCCAUCCCAACCAACUAUACCCACGAUUGACCCUUCUCCGUCCUUCUUUUUCGAGUAAAUGGGCAUGCUUAGGUAGGGACAAAGAGGUCUAUAUCUCCUCACUCUCCCACUUUGGGGGUAAUUUGACUCUCACCAAAGCCGUCAAUAAGCAAAGAUACUCUAAUUUUUAUGAGUGGCGAAUUAUUCCUUGUAAACAUCUUGACCCUCCCAUCAUGGUUUCUUUGAAUUUCUUUGAGAAUAUUGCAUAGAUGUUUACUGCCAUAGGCUGGCGUUGUUAUGCCGAAAUACGAUGUCCUGCUUUUGUUGAAUUGGUUAGGGAGUUUUACGCCACCUUUCAGUUUGAUCUAUCCAUGGGGUAUUCUAUCACAACCCCGAAUGUGAUUCGAUUUCGAUUGAUGGGUUAGGAGUUUAAGUUCUCCAUUACUUAGUUUAAUUUGGCUGUGGGUUCAUCGAUAGUGAGUAUGCCAAUUUUAAGGAAUAUGCCGAGAGUGCUUGUGAUUAUAUCGAACCAUUUUUCUCUUUUCACACCGAGAUUUGAAAGGACAUUUCUAUUGAUGGUGAUUGUUAUAAUCCUAGCCGGUCCAAGAGCUGUUAUCUCAAGGACCUGAGUUCCUGUUAUAUUCAGCACUUUUUAGCCUAUAAUUACUCAGGUAGGAAAGAUAGUUCCGAGACCUUUUCUAAGCCUAAAUUUUUCUUUAUUUGGUGUAUGACUAAAAUAUCAAAGUUAAUUUGGGCUAUUGGCUAGUUUCCCAAUUCAAGACGGUUAUGGUUAAGAAAAACAAACCUUUGAUUCUUGGGUUUUACAUCACACAUUUAGCUAUUCAUUUAGACAUUGUUGAUCCCUAUGACCAUGAUUUACAUUUGGCUUGUAACAUGGACCCUUUAGAUAUGGUUUGUCUAGAGAAAAUGGGUGUAGUGGGACAGGUUGAUGACGCGUGGCAGUUUACUCUUUCGGGGACCACUUGUGUACUUGUUCAUCGUCCUUCCACGUGUGCUAGUACCUCUUCUACUUCCUGAGUAGCCGAUGGCAAGCCUGGACCAUCUACCUCUGCACCUUCUCCAUUGUCGUCUUGGGAUGCUGAGUGGCAAUACCUUUGUGCACAAGUUCACCAUAUGGAUGAACAGUUGACUAAUCUUGCACUUCACAUGCCCCAGAUGUCCUAGACUUUUUGCGGCUUACUUCCACUAUGUGGGUUUUACGCCGCCAUUCCCGCCUCAUCCAUAGCUGUUUGGAGUCCUUCUCCACAUUCUUCAGGAAAGUUUCGUUGUCCCCUUCCUUUUCUUUUCUUUAUUUCUUCCAUUCGGGACAAUAUCAGAUUUAGGUGUAGGGGGAGUUGUACAGUUGGUACUAUUCAUUUUAGGUGUUUUCAUUUUCUUUUUGUCAUUUGUGAGUAUUUUUAUGGAUAUUUGGGAUCGACAAUGGUUAGUUGAUUCCAAUUUUUCUAUUACCAAGUUUUAUUUAUAAGAAUGUAUCGAGUGCAAUAUGAGUAAGUCUAAGAAUGGCUCCUUGGUGAAUAUUUGAGAUUUUGUGACUUUUGCAAUUUUUGGUUAGCUUUUCUAGGCAUUGUGCAUAUUUUUCUAGUAUUUUUCAUGUAAAUUGGUUCAAUUAUUAAUCUUAGUUCUCCAUGUUUGAGGAAAUGAUGCAACCUUGUGUGAUUUUUAACAUUGUUUUGUUGCUAAUUUGUGAAUAGUGUUUGGCUAUAUUCCGGUGGUUAUCGCUACCUAGUAACCGGGAGUGUUCACCUAAAGUAUCGACUUUCGUGUCAAACAGUAGCGGUAGCUAUGAGUAUGUGGCCCUUAAAUGAUGAAAAGUUGAGUAACCGGAUUCCUUCUUUUGGUAGAUGUCAGAAUUUACAUCAAAAGACUUGAAUGGCUAAGGACUAAAUCUUGUCCCUAAAAAAUGAACAAAAAAAAAAUAAAAAAAUAGAGAAAAAAAAGAAAACAAAAAAAAGAAACUGUGCGAGUAUAGAGUUGAUUAUGUUAGCCUGUCGAUCCAUGGGUUUGAUGUUGAGAUUUUGAUUAAUAGUUGAGUCGUUUGCUGAUCAAUGCUAGUCAAAUGUUUAAUCUUCUUAGAUUAGUUAGUCAGGAAUUGGAGAAGUCCUUGGUUUUAAAAGCUAACCGAAGAGUUAUUUCUUGGAACUUGGCUAUCAAUGCUUGAUGUCUACUUUGAUGAUAUUUUAACAAUAGAUGAGUUGAGUGAUAACCAUUGUUGGGUUUCAGUUACUGAUUUGUUGUUUCUCAUACUUGAGAACAAGUAUGUUCUAGGUGUGGGGGGAAAUUGAUAGGGUGCAAAAUUGUUAUUCAAUUUAUGAUUAGUUUUCCCUUUUAUUUUAGCCAAAUAUUGUUUUAAUUGUCGAAUUCUAUUUAUAUUUGGUAUUUGAUGCUAUUGUAGGGCGGUGGAGCGAAAGUUGCUAAAAAGGGACAAUUUUCUUCAAAGUUGAUUGUCAAGUGCGGAGAUGCGGGAUUUGCACGUAAGAGUUUCCUAAUCCAAGAUGGAGUCUGAGCAGAGUAGCGACUUGAGAUUAAGAAAGUUUUUCUUCUAGAGAUUUGAUUUAAUUAGGAAACAAUUAGCCUUAUCUUUUGGGAGUGGUUCCUUUUUCAAUUAGAAGUAUUUUUAUUCUUGAAAGCAAGAAAAUAGGGGAAGGGCCGUUUGACUUUUAGUACUCGACAAAAAACAAAACUUGGGAGACGAGAAUUUUUUGGGAGCGCUGGUGACUAGUCUCGCGGGCAGGAACAGAACAAAGUUGCUGUCCUCUUUGUCAUUGCUUUUACUCUCAUUUUCUAUUUUAUUUGAUGCUUAUGCAAUUUACGUCAAUUAAAUUGUGUUGCUUGAUGCCGAUGACGUGCAACUAAAUUUUGCUUUUCUAGCCAAGAAAUAACGUGAAUUUGGGUCAUCAACAACUAUGAGAUCAAACUGUUUUUAUUAAUUUCUUUUAUUCAUUAGUAUUCGUAUGUUUUCAAGUUUAAUUGCUUAUAGGAGUUAGUUGUUUGAAUAUCAAAGGCGUUUGAUAUUUAAUUCAACCUAACAAACUAUUGCCAGUUAAAACAGUUAAAUUCGUAAUUGUUUAAUUAUUUUAAAUUAGUAGCGACUAGCGUGAUUGGCUUUACGUUAGGAAGACAUAUGAUUUAAUUUAAAUAAACCCUGAUAAUGUGUUUAUUAAUUAGAACAGGACUUUUCUAGUUUCUAAUGCAAUUAAAGAAUUAAAUUUUAUGGAUGUACCUAGGGUUAUUUUUUGGUUAGAAAAGUAGUUAACUAGUGUACCUUAACUAUUGAGAUACUAAGGAAGAGCUGGUUGUGAUCACAUGUUUGGCAACUAUAACCUGUUUAUUAACCAUAAAUGAAAUAAUUCUUGCAUCGAUGAGCAGUUGUUUGACCCGUUUCCAGAGUUAUUUCCUUGGUUAGAGCUCGUUUAUCCUUGAUUUAAAUUUAAUCUGUUUUAGUUUAAUUAUUUUCAAUUUGCAUUGAUUAUUUAUUUUUAAUUGCAAUUUUCCAAACUCCCCCCAAUUAAUUGUCACUUGAAAGAAGCAAAUUUUCACUCGAAACCUUGAGUUUAUAUCUUUUUGAGUAGGAAUUUAUUUUUACACAAGCCUGGCACUUGUCAAUUAACACAAGGUUUCGAGCAAUGCACAGUUUCUUUUGUAUCUAGAAUGGCUAAUGUAGCAAGUCAUAUGCUAGCACAUUUUGCAACAUACCUAGUUUAUGAUAUAAAAUGGGUAAAUGAUUUCCCAAUUCGACUAAUAGAAGCAGCUAGGAAGGAUGAGUGGGUGAAUGUCCCCUUUUGUAAUUAACUCUUGUACUUCAAGUGUUGAUAGAUAUACUGAUAGUAUCAUUUGUUGAAAAAAAGAGAAAGUGUUUAUUUGUUUAAUAAAAUGGUCACGGUAGUGUUUAUAUAAUUUUGUAAACUUCGGAAAGUAAAUUACCUCGUUGAAUUUGUAUAAUUUGAUUAUGUUGAAGAAACAUAAUCUUGAAAAAGCAGAGAAAUUUUCUAGUAAAUAUUUAUGUUAUUUUGAUAGCUAAUCAUUGUUCAUAUCAAUAUACUAGCUAUAAACUUAUACUCGCAAUACUACUGUUACGGUAUAAAAUUUCUCGUCAGAGCAAUUUAUAAUUUCAUCCCAUAUUUACCCUUGACUGUUAACCUCAAGUUCUUCAGAUAUCCAUGGGACAGUGUAACCCCUUUGAAGGUCAAUUCUUACACCCUCAUCAAAGUUUCUGGAGUUGCGUAUUAUAGGGGUGCAAACACAAAAACGAGACAUCCUUAAUCAAAUGGAGUUCCUUCUUUUUGCGAUUCAUUCCUCUGCAAAGCUCCUCCUCCUCCGAUUUUAAUAUAUGCCGCUGUUAAAAUAGGAUACUAAUUAGGUGAAUACGAGGACUCUCGUUCGACUCUCGAUCUUUCCUCUCAAAUUACACUAAUAUUUUUAAUCAUACACUCAUCCCCUUACUAACUUCCUAUGGGCCCAAUAUGUUGAGUAGAAUUCGAUUGGAACAACCGAAAAGAAAAGAAAAGAAAACAAAUACAAAACAAUGAAAUGGACACUUAGUCAAGUUGGAACCUAGGAGGAAGUGAGGAGCACAAGUGCGAACAGAUCACCAAGGAAAAAGAAACAAAUUUUUCGAGAAUGCAAUUUGAUUUCAAGCUCAAUCAUAUUCUAAGAGUCAAUGAUAAGAUCGAAAAAUGUAGGUCCAUUGUUAAGAUAUAGACGGAGAUGGUUGCUUAUUGAGCGUUGGAAAUAUUUCAUAAGCAAGUUGUACUUAUAUCUCAACUUGUAUAAUUUUAAUUUAAUAAGAUUAAGUUAAUGACCAUGUCAAUGAUCUCUGCGUCGUGCAUGACAUUCUUUUUUCUUGUACUCUCCAAAAGCCUCCUCCAGCAGUGGCUGCAUGUCUGUACAUGUUCCCCCACAACAAGAAUAAUGAAUCAAUUGCCAUAAUUGCACGCAUUUAAAUUUUCUGAGCUGGUGAUAAAUUGCAUAGUUUUGAUUUUUUCUGUUUCCGGUUCCCACUCUAGCUACUUCUAGAUUUAUUAAUUGGAAAAAAAAGAAGAAGGAAUAAAUUAAACCUUAUUUAAUUACUUUUUUAGUCAGGAUAUCUAUAGUAGAUGUAAUUAUCUCUAUAGAAAUGAAUGAAGCAUCCUAGCUUGUGAUCAUUAUCCUCUGUUGCAAUUCUCUUGUUCAAACUUCAAAUUUAGGUCUUGUUUGCUAAUCCAAUUCAGCAUUUAAAUUUAAUGGAUUCAGAUUUUAAUAUAUUCAGAUGCGUUUGAUAACCAAAAAUUGAACAUCUGAAUUAAUUAAGUGAUACUAAAAUUUUCAGGCAAAACUUACCCCUAAAAAAGAGCGAUAAGUUAUUCACUUAUCACUUAAUGUGAUAUACACUCAAAUAUAUCAGAUUUACUACUUAUAAUAACUUAAUGAAUUCAGAAUUCAAAUUUCAUAUUUCAAUUUUAUCAAACGCACCCUAUCUCACGGCAAACUGAAUAUGAAAUCCAAAGUUGAAAAUCCAAGAUGUUAGAACUUUGAAACCAUAGAGCCUCUAGGCAAAUUCAGCAUUUUUACAUUCUAUUGAUUUAGGGCAUCUUCAAUUAUCAGUUUCAACUCCAUGGUAUAAUAUAGAUAUUACCUCUAAUAGUUGUACGCACUUACACAACAAAUACAGAUUGUGAAAUUAAUUGUUUAAGUUUGAUAUUUUGUAGGCUUUGGGAUAUAAUUUUCACGUUUAGGAAAAAGAAAAUAUGUUAGUAAGUAAUAAUGUGAUACCCCUUGUCCCACGUUGGAAGUGGGAGAGGAAAAGGAUUGAUAUAUAUGCAAGAUUUGGUCGCAUAAGUUACUAGUUACUUGGGCUAACCAUGUCGGAAAGUGUAUUUCGACACAAAAAUUACUUACGCCAACCAUGGGCUUGGAUGGUGAUAAAUAACUUACUAGAAGCCAGGCAUGUUUAUGUUUAGAUGUCCUGAAAGCAGAGUAGUUCAGAAUCUAGAUAAUGGUAACGAUAUGAUGAGAAUGUGAAGUUAUUUGGUAAACUUUAUAGAUUAAUAAUUUCAUCAAGGCAUCGUAUAUAACCAUGAUGACACAAUCUCAACUUUCAUUCUUUUGUUAAAUCUUAGUUUUUUUCUCUUAAAUUUUUUCGAAUAAAGGAAUGAUGGAAUUUAAGCAGUAGAGGGGUGGAAGGGGAAUUUGAAUUCAAAACCUCUAAUUUCUAAGUUUUUCACUAAGCAAUCGUCAAAACCAAAAAAAAAAAAAAAUUAAAAGAAAAAAAAAAUUAGCACCUUAUGGUCAAUGCUCCUGUUCGAAGAUUUAUUCCUUUGGUUUGUCAUCAUCUCCCUCUAUGAAAUCUAAGUACCCUUGGUUGACAAUUUGUUUCCCUGAGCAUCCAUCAACACUUUUAUAUAGUAUUUCUUUUAAUAUAGUAUUAGAUUAGAUUAGAUUAGAUUAGAUUAUCAAUGCACCAUCAAUAUAGUAUUAGAUUAUCAAUGCACCAUCAAAACACUUUUAUAUAGUAUUAGAUUAGAUUAGAUUAUCAAUGCACCAUCAAUAUCCUUAAAUAUAAAAGCUUAAGUAUAGUAAUCAAAAUACUGUUAGUAAUCUGUAUGAUUAUUUUUUAUCCUUUAAUGUUUUAGUUUUAGGAAGAUCACAAAUGCUGCGUAUAAAGCAUGCCAUAGGCUAAAUUAAGCUAAAUUAAGUACAUUGCUAAAAUGGAGAGCAUUGCUAAAUUAAGUACUUUAAGAUAAAGACUUAAGCAGCCAGAUCCAUUUGAUGUCAGCUGCUUCAAUAUCCACCUCAAAAUAAAUUAGCCCUUGUUCUAGAUUAGCUUAAUGCUAAGUCCCUUCACCAUUCUUAGUAAUAAUUCAAUUCUGCCUCAAUUUUCUUCUGAUCUUCAAGGUAAAUGUACGAUAAAUUUCAAAAUAUAUCCCAAAUAUAUGAAUUUCUUGAAACCAUCCUUCAAUCUCAUUACCUACUCAACAAAAUGUUCCAUAAACACAAAUAUAUUAAUGAACUUGGAGUUGAUUUGAAGAAUUGACGAGAACCGCAAGCUAGAAUUUUUCAUAUAUUCAAACAAGAAAUUGGAAAAAUCUGACUAGCUUGCAACGAGUACUACAUCUCAAGACAAGGGAUCUUUUCAGUCACUCUUUAAUUGUAUCGAAGACCUACUUGCAUCUAUGAAUAAGCAAUACUGAGUGAUUUUAGAUGUGGAGUUGAUUCCAUGUGGUAGGACAACUUUGGUUUUCAAAAAUAAGGGCAGUCCAAUUCACUCAAUACAAAAAAAAAAUUUUAAAUGAUAAUAUUCAAAGGAACGUCUAUCUUACCUAAAAAAACAAACAAACAAAAAAAAAAACAAUAAAAAGGAGAUUGAUAUCCUAUCCAGUAUCCACAGAUUGAACAAUAGCCACAUUAUCUUAUAAUUCUUAAUGAUCAUUAGCUGAACUAUCAACUUUAGCAGUCAAGAAAGGCUGUAACUUGUAUAAGGACAAUAAAUUCUUUAUUCCGGCGUCCGGAGACUUGAGACGUGGACGCUUCAUUAGUCAAUAAUAAAGUGUGGAAUUCGACGAAUAUUCUUAGCUCGUUCAAGAUAACAGAGAAGAUUCACUCUUGUACAAGCAACAGGCACAGCUACUUAAACUAUUGGAUAAUUUCAUAAACCUUGGCUGAAGUUUUGGACAAUUUCAGUACCCCUCUUAUUUUCAAUAUUACGCUGACCAUUCUUACUUUAACUAAUGUAGUAACCAAUUCAGCCCAUAUCAGUAAAAGAAAUGGAAUAAAUUGACAAGAAAUGGUGUCAUCACAUUUUGUUCCACAUUUACCCUUAUAGACCCUAAAAGAAAUAUUGUAACAUAGGACAAAUUUUACUUCGUACCUUCGAACUUGAAUCACUUUUCUAUUUUCUUACUCUAAACUUUAAUUUUGGAUGCUUUCCAUGUGAUUGGAGGCAACAGCACAACAGAGCUCUUCUUAAGUCUCUGAUCGUUAGUGUCACAUGACCAUUGCUAAUUAUGCUAUUGCUUUUGAAUGGAAAUAGCAUAAAAGUCUUGGUGAAUGAACAAAUUGAAUAGACCAUUUUGCAGAGCAGUGAAAUAUUCCGAAGCCGUGAAGCACAGUGAUAAGCUACAAAUUAUAGUAAUUUAUAUUUAUUAAUUGUCAAUGAAUGGUUUUAUUUGAGCUAUAAUUAGAAUGGAAGUUGCCUAAUUUAAGUAUAUUUUGGUUUUUGCGGGAAAAGCACGCAAUUGAGGAGGAGAUGAAUAAAAAACGCAACAAAAGAAGAAGAAACGUUGAAAGGGACUUUGUGAGGACUUCUUCCAGUUCCAAUGAUUUCCGGAGAAAUUUCUAAAAUUAUGAUGAAUUUUAAAAAAAUUCUACAAAGGCGGCAUUUUGAGUAUGGGAUUCCGUCCAAGGGGUCUUCACAUUCAGUAAAUGCGAGCUCCCUCUCAGCUCGCAUUUACUGAAUGCGAAGUCUCUUGAAUUUGCAACCAACGAAAUCCAAAAAAAAAAAAAAAAAAAAACAGACCUCGCAUUUGUUAACAGUACGUAGGCCUGACCUCUUAUCCCGUUUCUGAGCAACAGAGCAUGCCACGAAUUUGAAAGCCAUUUGCCAAGUGAAAAGAAAAUGUGCAGCGCAAAUGGGACACAAAAUUGAUUGGGGAGUCCUGUUGAGGUAGUACAAGUGGCAAAUUGGGAGGGGACAGAGAGGCGCAGCUGGCUAUCUUCACAGAAAUGGGUUCCGAACAGGGGUCCAAGCUCUACAAUGGCGCAGAGCUUCCGACGAGAAAGAUGUGAGGGAUUUCGUCUGCCGAUCCUCGAAGCUUGGACUGGUGUCUAGCUCAGCAAAAGAGAAGAGAGAGUGAGCUGGAUGGAGAGAGUGAGCUCCAAUUUCUGUAGGUUAGGAGACAGAUUAGAAUGCCGUAAUUAGAGCUCUGCCUUUUUUUCAGAUUGAGUACAUCGCAUUCGAGAAAUGCGAGGUACCUCAGCUCGCAUUUGGCAUAUACGACCUUUGUUGUUUUUUACUUUUUCUCAAAACCUUUCUCUUUUUUCUUGAAACACUGACCUCGCAUUUGUGAAAUGUGAAGUCUUUGAACUAGCGUUUCACAAAUGUGAAGACCAUAAUCCUAGAAUUAGCUUCAAAAAUUACCCCCCUUGUAAAACAACUUUUUUUUCUAUCACAAUUUAAGAAUUUACUCUGAUUUUUGAGCAUAACAAGUUUGCGGCCAGAGUUAGAGCCGGUCUUCGGGCCGAACUUUAUUGGAAAACCCAUUCAAACUCGAUUUUUGGUAAGUUUUCAAGACCUAUUCCUACCACAUUUCGGAUGCAACUUUGAGAGACUAUAAAUAGGACAUUCUAGGAUAUUUUUAGGUUAGAAAGCAUUUAGCUUACAUUAGUUCAUCCUUUUUAUAUCUUCUUUUCUUGAGAGAUCACAAAGGAAGUGUUGAAGAAUCAAAGAGAAAGUUCAAGAUGGAGAUUGGAGUAGGGAAAAAUUGAGAACUUUUCUUUACUUUUAACUUCUUAUUUUGUCUUUCAUUUGAAUUCUUGGAUUUAUCUAUGAAUAUGUUGAACUAAUUUAUAUCUAGACUUAAGAUUUUGUGAAGGAGAUUUGAUUAUUUGUUCUAGAUAAAUUAUUCAAUUUUUCUUUGAUUUAUCUAUCUUGCCUUUAUUACAUAUUUUUGUUUGGCCACUAUAGAUAUGCUUUUAGGGUUUGUAUUGAAUUGAGAAGCGAUAUACAACCAUAUAUUAGAUAAAUAAACUUACUUAACCUAAUUAUGAAUGUGGGUUAGGAUUUGUAUGGCAUAAUCAUAUCACCUAAAAUCUUAAAGGGUUUAAUUAAAUACCUAUGAUCUUGAGAGCAAUGUGAGAUUUCAUUAAACACAAUUUAGAUGUAUCGAGAGAUAAUUAAAAUACCUUUACGUGAUACAUCUUUGACAUGUUAAGAAAAUAAUUGGAUAAUGAUUCCAAUUAUAAAUCAAAAUUUGAAACUCUAGUUUUUGCUAAUUGUUUUCUCACCUAUAUCUUAUUUGAUUUCAUUACUUAUUUAAUUUCUUAAUUAGUGAUUAAAAACCCUCUAAAUUUAAAUUUUAUUAUUUUUAUUAGAGUAAUUAAAGUAGAAAAAAUUAACUCAUUCCUAUAUGUUUGACCCUGGAGUACUCCAAGUGAAUUAUUAUUUCGAUCAACCCUAUACAGUUAUAGAAAUUCAUCGAUCACACAGCAACUAAAAAAAAAAAUUAAUGCACAAUAAUGUCAUGAACACAGUUCUCAUAUUAGUUGUUCAACAUUCAUGGUGGAUUUCAAUUAGUGGUAAAUAGAUAAAGUCGUCGAAAAAAGUAAUCUAAUUACUAGAUAAUUGAAUUUAUACUACAGCAUAUUUCUUUUUUCUACUGCAAAAACUUAACUAAUUUAAGACAAUGUAGUCCAAGCUAAUUGAAGAUUAAUUUCCCUAAAAAAUGUUCAUGAUAAAAACUCAACAAAGAGAUAAUACAACAGCUUACUUUUGGAGGUGAUCUUAUACGGUCUUUAUUAACAAACUAAUUAGCCACCUAAGCCUUUUUUUUUUCCUUUUGGGACUACACAUGACAAAAUGAGGAGUGAAUCAGUCGCUUAGUAUCUAAAAUUUUCGCUCCAUAAUUAGUUCAACCUGAUUUAAGACUAAAUUUUUACUAUAGGAAUGUUCGUGAUUCAGCAAUGAAACACCAUAUAAACUUAUUUUGGGAGAUUUGUCCUAGAAGAGAAAAAAUGAGCAACCAAUCAGAAAGUCGUACUUACAUAUCAAAAUCGAUACUGUCUACUUAAUUCACCAGGCACCAGCUAUGUAUAUUUCAUCCAUUUUCACAUAAUAGAAAGAACAAUAAUGCAUGGCAUUAUCCAUCAUAAAUUUCUCAUAUAACAUCAAGAUAUCAUGGUGUGGACCUCAAAUGACUCGUCAUGUCUACUGGCUACAUUUUAAACAUAUCUUAUGGCCAGAAUGUUCAUCUUAUCAACUUAACGAGUUUAUUCAUGGUACCAUACCAUUCAAUUAAAAAAGUUUCCACCUUUUACCUUUUAUUUAUAGAUGUCGAGGAAUAUAGCUGAUAACGCACUUUUGGCAGCAAUCUUCCUUCACCCAAUUAAAGAUUUUCGGAGCUUAAAGUUCAGCUCCUAAAGCUCUUCUCCAAGGCUCACCAACCAACAGAGAAAUUACUUUUAGCAAAGUUUUGAUGGCAUCUUGGCAAGAUUGGAAGAUUAUAUUGCGCUUCUAAGAUAAUGUUUAAAAAAGCUAUUUUAACGAGGGCAUUAUGGUCAAUUUGCCCCUGAUGAUAUUGACAUUAGGUCCCAUCAACAUCAGAAGGGAGCUCAUUGUAUUAUUGGAUAUAACAAGAGUGCUAGUGAAAUUAUGAAAACCCUCAAGGAAGGUUUUUGAAAUUAACCCUAAAAUACUCAUUCCACGCAAGGCGUGGCGUUCCCCUCCUAGUUCCUAUAAAUAGGGCUGCAACUCAAUGCACUUAUCACUCGAUAUCAAUAAUUUAGCACAUUAUUUACAUUUUGAGUGAGAUUGUGAUCAAAUGACAUCUUCAAAAAAUUUGCUCUUUCUUAUUGGUGUUCUUUUUGCACUUGUGCUCCUCAUUUCCUCUGAUGCAACAGCUGCAGGUGCCUAGUCCCUUUUUUUCUUUUCCUUUCUUCCUUUUUUUUUUUGGCUGCACCUAAAUACUUAAAUGAAUGGAGAUUUGGAGACUCAUUAUUGGGAUGUGAAUUUUUAUGGAAGGCUAUUUGUAUAUUAUCAAGCAAGUCAUAUUAAUGUGCUAAUAUCUUUUUCAUUGUUUAGCAAAAGUAAAUUUGGGUUGCUUCUAUCAAUGGUUAGUGGCACAUCUGAUUUUUCAUGCAUCCUUAUAGUAUUGCUGUAAGGAUACACGUUCCAUAGUGUCGCACCAAAGAUUAAACUAACGUCGAAAACCAAAUUAAAUGCUUCUAAUUAUAAUUUAAAGCAAAAUAAUUCCCCUUAUAAAUGGACGAAACUUCCUGCCAACAAAUCCAAAUUCAAGAAAAAAUUUUCUUAAGGGGAAACUCUGCCAAAAUUUUCUUAAAAUAAAUAAAAUAUUUAAUUAAAAAAAUGAAGCAAAAUAAUUCAUAUCCAAGUCGCACCAUCUUAUAUGCCUAGACUGUUUUGUUUAAUCCAUAGUAUUCUUUUCUUUGCAUAUAUCUUGCAAAUUUUCAGCCAAGCCGGUCACCUAACGUUCGCAGCUUAAGAUAAAGCUCCAAAUAUUUAUGUCUCCUUGUGUCUUGAAACAGAUCAGAAGAGCGUGAAAACCACUGGUGUCCACGAUGCCAGUUCAGGCGAGGUUCAUCAGGAUAGCAAAAGCGAAGAUCGUUGCAGACAUGGUUGCUGCCACUGGUACCAUGGACACUGCCAAAGAUGCUGUCGAACUGCCGAGGAGACCCCUGAAGUCACAUCUGGAGAUGAGGAUACCGUAACCGCAGAUCGUUGCAGACAUGGUUGCUGCCGCUGGUACCAUGGACAUUGCCAAAAAUGCUGUCCACCUGAAGAUCGUUGCAGACAUGGUUGCUGCCACUGGUACCAUGGACAUUGCCAAAGAUGCUGUCCACCUGCUGAGGAGACCCCUGAACAUCGUUGCAGACAUGGUUGCUGCCGCUGGUACCAUGGACAUUGCCAAAGAUGCUGUCCGCCUGCUGAGGAGACUUGCAGACAUGGUUGCUGCCACUGGUACCAUGGACAUUGCCAAAGAUGCUGUCGAACUGCUGAGCAGACCCCUGAAGCUACAUCCGGAGAUGAGGUCAAAAAUUAACGCUAAAUAAAUAAGGGCGUGACACAGGAUCCGUGACACCUAUAUUAUUACCUUAAUAUGUUAUGUUGUGUUUGCUUUUAAUGGUUGAUUUCCUAUAUGUGUAAAAGACUUGUGCGGCUUCUCUUUGAAUUGGUGUAGAAUCAACGGGGGAAGCAUGUAAUGAGUAUUCAGUUCGAGUGCUCUUCUUAUGUUGUUGUCAUGUUGAAUAAAUAAAUCUACUUGAUCAUCUACUACAAUUGAUGAUCUUCUUAUGUUUUUUUUUCACUUUAUCUUCCUUCAAGAUUUUUGGUGGAAAUGCUUCAUUUAUACGAAUUUUCCUAGUUAGUAAAUGCUUCUAUUACACUUGUACAAUACACAUUUAAAAGUAUAACACAACAAAAGCUUGUGUAGUUCAUAUAUUUAAAAAAUAUUCAUACUUUUCAACUAAACUAUAAAAAUAUGUAAUAAAUUCUUUAUACAUUAUACUUUACGAACUAUACUUUAAAUUUUAAAAAUAUUUAAUAGUAUCACUUAUCAAUAACUCCACAUGUUAAUUUGUCUUCCAAUUCAGUAAAUUAUAGUAGCUAAUUCUCAAAGCUAACCGACACCAAAAUUCCCUCACUUGUUCAGCUCCUAGUGGAUUUAUAUUAAUUACAUUGCAUUUAUUUCCUAAGCAUGAGUUUUGUAACCCCUCAUAUUAAAUCUCAAUGAUUGAUUUUAACGGUUACCCAGGCGUCUAGUAAUUGGUUUGCUAUUAAUUUGAACUAGACAUUUAUUAGGUCUAGUAGAAUUUAUUCCUUCUUAUCACUUAGUUCAUAAACCUUACGAAUCGUUAAAACCAGCUCUAACAUCAGCUAACAAGACUUCUACAAUUUCGGGUUUUGCUUAGAAAUCAGUCUGAUAGGUUAACUUGCUUCGUCCAACUUUAUGAGUUGCUUCUUUUUUCUUUUUUUUUCCAUAUUUGACAUUUCAUCUUACUUUAAUAUGGGGACCAAGUUAGUAUUGUUGACAUUUCAUAUCUAAGACUUCUUAAUUAAUUGAUUUGUUAUAAGAACUAUAACGUAUGCGUGUUUUGUAAGCUUUCAUGUUUUUUUAUUUUUUCAAUUCUUGUGGACCAGCAACGGAUAGUUUCUUCUAGUACCAAUCUUCCUUUGAAGUUCUUUAAUUUUUUUUUUGUGUCCAAAUGUAAAUUAAAAGAACCAACAACUUUGAACAAGUCUAUAUCUAGUAAAGAUAGAUAUAAAGAGGGAUACUAUAUCACUGCAACAAAAAAGGGAUUUGGCGAGGAGCAAAAGUCCACGCCAAAAUUUUUGACUUCGUCGCCAAUUAAUUUCAGCGAGAAAAAUGCUUCCUCGUCAAGUUUCUUGCUAGAUGCUCAUCGCUAAAAGUUAUUAGAGAGGAUGUUGUUGCUUUUCUCGCUAAUGAAACAGAUCAAUAGCAAGGAUUGACCUCCUCGCCAAUCUGAUUCAAAUACUAUGGCGAGAAAAGCUUUCCUCACCACUAAAGUUAAAAACUCCCCACAAAAACCAGUAGUUCCUAGCAAAUAGUCAAGGUGUUCUGCUAGGAAAAAUAGCGCAUCCUUACCAAUAGUAUAGAAUUAGCAAGGAUUCUUUUGACAAAUCUGCAAUGCCUCGUGUACCAGUAAAACAUUUUUGGCCAGGAAAGUUUCCUCUCUAAUAAGCAAUAAUUGAUUAUUGUCUAACUGUUUGGUGGGAAAAUGUUCCUCUCCAAUGCUGUUAUGAACAUUUCUUAAUCCCAUUUAGCAUGCUAAUCUUAAUUCUCUGAGCAAAUUACUGGGUGGUUUUAUUAGAAAAUUUAGCUGCAAAUAGCUUCAAUUUGGCUUCUCAUGUGUCUGUUGUACAUUUUCCAGGUUCUUAUAAGUAUCAAAUUGUUUGGCAAAAUUUUUUUUUAAUGAAUCAUGACCAACGUAGCUGCUCAUUAAAUUUAAACUCAUAAGCCCUAGUAUUUGAUAGCUUUUUGGAAUAUCACUUGGUGCCAACAACCCCCUUUUGCUACUUUGAUAAACAUUCAAUAGAAAACAUACAAAAGCUUUGGUUAGCUAAAAAUAAUUGUUAGCAAAGUAAUACAUCAACAUCCAGCUCUUUCAACAUCUUGAGCCAUACAAAUAGGAAGUGCUUGAAAUCAAUUGGCAAUCCAAAUUUUUUUUAGCUCAUUAACCAUCCAAGAAAUCGCAACUUCAAUAAGUCAUUACAAAAGAAGAUUUCAUCAAGAGAACACCACAAAAAGGAGAAGCAGAAAAAAAAUAUAAGAGAGAGAGAGAGAGAGUUAAACUAGUCAUAUGGACACAUAUUUGUCACCUCAGUAUUUCCAAUUCCUUAAUUCAGUCCAGUUAUCUUGGAACUCUAUCGGCAAUCCAUGGAACAUUUUUUGAAUGACAAUAUGCUGUUGCAACCUUCUGGUGAAGACUUCAAAGGUUCUAUGAUAGGUUGCAUUUUUGUCAUUAAUUCUAUGAUUAUUUUCCUCAUUUAUAUUACCAAAUAUUGUAUUAAUUGAUUGAUUCUACUUAUAUUUGGUAUUUUGUGUCAAUUGUAGGAAGGUGGAGCAAAAAAUAAUAAAAGAGGUGAUUUUUCAAGAGUUUUCCAUUUCAAGAUGGAGUUUACGUGGAGUAUUGGAUGAAAAUUAGGAAACUACCACUUUUUAUUAGAUGUCUUAUUAGGGAACAAUUAGCAAUAGUUGGAGAAGUUUCCUUUUGCAAUUAGAAUUCUAUUUUUAGUUGGCCAAUGGACUGCCGAAAUAAUGGACUUCAAUUAGGAAACAAAGAGAGAAAAAAGGCCGGAAUCCCGCGUGAUUACUACCUUGGAGGGAACAAGAAAAAGGAGACGUCCGCUGGUCUCUUCUUUAGUGAGUCUUUUGGAAAAAACCAAUGGUUAUCGAUGGUGUCCUGCGGAUCUCUCCUGAUGAUGUGUAGCUAAAUCUCCGUUUUCUAGUCGAAUGUCAAUUUGAGGACUCGAUUCCAAACAUAUUUGAUAAGAGAAUAUUUAAUGUACAUUUUGUACAAGUUUGGCAUGAACUUUUGAUGUGUUUUGAGAAGAUUAAAGCCAUAUUUGAACUCUUUUGGUGAUAAAUGCUUAAAUAUUAUGUAAGUGUUCAAAACUUGAUAAAUGAGUGGAUUAAUGCGUUAAUUUUGUGAAAUUGUGAAGGAUAUUGAUAUAUGAAAUUCAUGCACGAGAUGAAGGAAAUGUAAGGAUCGUCUAGAGGAUAAAGUACAAAAGAAACUAGGAGCAAAAAUGAAGAAAAAGGAAAGAAGUGAAAAACUGGAAAUUGAUCAGCACAGAUUUGAGCUCGGAUCCGUGUGAACAAAGGGCGAUCCGAGCCCUCGUCUGCACUUCUGGAGCAGUGCAUCCGAGGCCAGACAAUCUGAGCUCGGAUUAUUAAGAGAAAGACCUCGGAUCAGCCUUGAUCCGAGCUCAGAUCGUAGUGCACACCUCGGAUCCAGGUCUCGGAUCUGCCUCUCUUCUGCAAGUGGCACGGCCGUUUUUUCUCAUUUUCACACAACUUUCCAGCUAUCUUGGGUGAGAGAAUUCGAUGGCACAUGCUUCUGCAACAAAAGGGAAGACAAAAUGAGUUAUUGAUAAGUCAAAACAACAUUUCUUUUGACUUUCUUUACAAAAUCUGAGUUGUUGGAAUCAUGAAGGAGAAGAAAGUGCCUUUCUACCACCUUUUAUGCAGAGAACUAAGGAGAAGUCAGGCAUCACCAUAUGGAGGAGUUUUUCAUCUUGUAACAUUUUUCUCUCUAGCUAGAAGUUCUAAAAACAAGCACUUGGAGAUUUCACUUGUAAUCAUCUUGUACAAGACAUAGCAAAAAUUUGAGGGUUUCACCAUUAAUUGGCUAAGCUUUUCUUUAUCUUUCUUGUACUUGUACUUUAUGAUGUUUUGCAUUAAUAAACUUGUGAGUUUGAUUGUUAUAUUAUUCAUGAGUAGCUAAAUUUCUUUAUCUAGAGAGUAGAUAAAUGAUAUGAAUUGAAUGUGAUUUACACUUGUUAUAUCUUGUAUUAACUUGUCUAUUUGUGCAGUUGUAAUUACUUGUUGUUGUUUGAUCACCAAUAGCAUGUUUAUAGUUGUUAUUAGUCAAUAAGAAUUGGUAGUAACAAUAGAAAAAAUAUGAGUAGAGCUUGAGUUGUAUGUUCAUGAAAAUAGAUGUACACUUAAGUGGAUUAGCUAGCAUUUCAUGAAGGAAAACAGAGUAGAACUGGUAGUUCACCAUGAAAAUAGGGAAAACUGGAUUACUCUAGGCCAUUUUAUCAUGAGAAUGAGAUUUGGCAAUAUUGAAAAUGAAUCCCUGGUUAAACAACAAUAAUAACAAGAGGUAAAUCUAUUCAUUUGUGUUGUUUAUACCAUAAGUGGAAUCUACAUCCCUAGAUUUAUUCUUGAGUGAAAUUUAUCCAUUUGCAUUUAGCAUUUGUUAAACUAGAUUUAUAGACAACAACAUUAUAAUUUCUCUGCUCAAAUUCAUUUAUAAGUCUAAAUAAUAGAGAAAAUAAGGGCCUAGUACUUAUUUAAAUUGCUCCUCGUGGGAUCGACUUGAUACAUACCUUACAUUACGAUUUCGACCUGUAUAGUUGCAGUCAACGGGUAUAAAAUCGAAUUCAAACUUGCAUUGAUAUAAAAAUCCCGUCACAUAUGUGAGAUCGAAUUAUUUUACUUAUUUCUUUUAUUCAUUGGUAUUUGUACAUUUUCUGAUUUAACUUCAUAUACUUGUUAUGUUAUUUGAAUGUCAAGGGCUCGAUAUUCGAAUUAACCUAAUAAUCUACUGUUAGAUUAAUUGAUUGAAUCCCUAAUUGUUCAAUUGAUUAAUACCAGUGGCAACUAGCGUGAUUAGUUUCAUGUUAAGGAAACAUAUGAUCUAACUUAAACGAACCCUCGUAGCGUGUUUGUUAAUUAAGGUUGGCUUUUCUAAUUCUUAUUGCAAUUGAGAAAUUAAAUCCUAUAGUCGUACCUAGGGUUAUUUCUUGGUUAGAAAAAUAGUUAAUGGUCGUACCUUAACUAUCGAAAAAGUAAGAAAAGAUUGGUUGUUUAUCGCGUGUAUAACAACUAUAACCAAUCUAUUAAUUAGUAAUUGAAUUAUCUUUGCAUCGAUGAUCAGUUGAAAGGACCAUGUCUGAAAAGUUGCACCUUUGGCUAGAGUUGUAUUGGUUAUUGAUUAAUUCCUGUUUAUUUCUAUUAGUUGUUUCAUUAGUUGAUUAAUUAGUUAUUUUAUAUUUUUCAAAAACCCCCCAUACUUCGGACUCUGGAAGAAAUGAAUUAUCCCCAAUCCCUGUAGAUUCGACCCUGCUCACCGCUAUAUACAAAUUUGUAUUUUUCUUGAGUAGGUAAUUAUUAUUGCACAUGUUCAACACCUGUCAUUCUAUAACUGUAUACAGAGUCAUCUUUUUCAAAGAUUUCCCAUGCUGCAAAAUGUACUCUACGAGCUUUAUUUCACCCUGUUCCUGAAGAGUUUGCUUGAUCCGAUAUACCCGAAUGGGAUGGUUAUUUCUUUCACAAAUAAUUAUGAAUUUGUAGACAGGGCAAGUAGGGUCGUAUCCACAGGGACUGGGUAUAUUUGUUUCUUAAGAAAUCCAAAAUAACAUAGGGGGGUGAUUUUGUAGGAACGACGACAAUAAAAUAAAUUCAAUUAAGAAAAUAAAAAUAAAUAACUAAUUAGAGAUUAAACAACAAUUCACUGAACUUAGAGUAAUAAUAAUUAAAGGCCUAAAUCAAUUAAAACAAGGAAGCAUGAAAAUAGAUGUACACUUAAGUGGAUUAGCUAGCAUUUCAUGAAGGAAAACAGAGUAGAACUAGUAGUUCACCAUGAAAAUAGGGAAAACUGGAUUACUCUAGGUCAUUUUAUCAUGAGAAUGAGAUUUGGCAAUAUUGAAAAUGAAUCCCUGGUUAAACAACAAUAAUAACAAGAGGUAAAUCUAUUCAUUUGUGUUGUUUAUACCAUAAGUGGAAUCUACAUCCCUAGAUUUAUUCUUGAGUGAAAUUUAUCCAUUUGCAUUUAGCAUUUGUUAAACUAGAUUUAUAGACAACAACAUUAUAAUUUCUCUGCUCAAAUUCAUUUAUAAGUCUAAAUAAUAGAGAAAAUAAGGGCCUAGUACUUGUUUAAAUUGCUCCUCGUGGGAUCGACUCGAUACAUACCAUACAUUACGAUUUCGACCUGUAUAGUUGCAGUCAACGGGUAUAAAAUCGGAUUCAAACUUGCAUUGAUAUAAAAAUCCCUUCAAGUUUUUGGCGUCGUUGCCAGAGAGUGGCAAUAUUAGGGUCUAAUCAUCUCUAUUAAUUUAGAUAUUUCUAUUGUUUUUAAGUUGUUUAUAGUUGAUUUUGCAUUAAUUUAGUUUUUGACAAUUAAAGCUGCAUAAUUUCUCUUAUUUCUAUUUGUAGUAAAUGCAUCGAACAUAUCGAGAAGUUACACCUUUCGAUCCAAAAAUUGAGAGGACACUUUGUAGACAAAGGAGCGAUAUACCGCAUCAAGAGGAACAAGAGAUUUGACAGCCGAUAGAGGAAAUUUUGAAAGAGCUACCGUUUGAGGAAGAAAUGGCGGAAAACAAACCAAAUAGGCGAGUUUUACGAGAUUUUGCUUUACCGGGGACACAAAGAUCUCAAACUAGCAUUGCAAAACCAACGGUAAAUGCUAAUAAUUUUGAGAUUAAACCAUCACUGAUUCAAAUGGUUCAACAAUCUCAAUAUGGGGGUAAUGCAACCGAAGAUCCAAAUUCUCACUUGUUAACAUUUCUUGAAAUCUGUGAUACAAUUAAGUUUAAUGGUAUUAGUGAUGAUGCAAUUAAACUUCGAUUGUUUUCAUUUUCGCUAAGGGACAAGGCCAAGGUUUGGUUAUAAUCUCAUCCUUCAAAUACUUUUACUACUUGGGCUGAAUUAGCUAAGGCUUUUCUUAAUAAAUUCUUUCCACCUGGAAAAACUGCUAAACUUAGAAUGGAUAUAACUAGUUUCUCUCAACAGAAAGGAGAGACAUUGUAUGAAGGUUGGGAGCGCUAUCAGGAAUUACAACGAAGAUGUCCUCAUCAUGGUUUACCAGAUUGGCUUAUAGUGCAAACAUUUUGCAAUGGUCUCACUUAUCCAACAAAGACGCAUGUAGAUGCAGCAGCGGGAGAAGCAUUGAUGGAAAAAUCAGCCAAGGAAGCUCAACAAUUGAUUGAAGAAAUGGCCGCUAAUAACUACCAAUGGGCCAACGAACGAGGUAAUACAAGGAGAACCGUAGGUAUGCUUGAAGUAGAUACCUUAAAUAUGUUAAGUGCAAAGAUGGAUAAUGUGGUUAAGAUACUUAAUAGGCAUGUUGGUUCUAGCUCUAAUCAAGGAGUAGUUGUUACAUGUUCUACUACUUGCAGCGGAGAUCAUGAUGAUUCUAUGUGUUCUAGCAGCGAACAAGUUCAAUAUCUCAACAAUUACAACCGUCCACCCCAAAAUAAUCUAUACUCCAAUACCUACAAUCCAGGAUGACUUAAUCAUCCGAAUUUUGGAUGGAAGGAUCAAGGGAACCAACAAAAACCAGUUAAUCCACUGGAUUUUCAACCGAAGCAACCACUUCCAGAGUCCAAACCAGCUUGGGAAUUGACAAUUAAGAAGCUGGCAAAUGUAUCAAAUGAUAAAAUUGAAAAGUUAGCUAGUGUCACUACUCAACGAUUUGAAAGAAUUGAGGGAAUGAUGGACCAACUCACCAAUAUGUAUAGGAAUGUUGAGAUCCAAUUAGGGCAAAUAGCAAAUGCAGUUAACAAUCGCAACCAAGGGGAUUUACCUAGCAAGACUGAGGUGAACCCAAGGGAGCAUGUGAAGGCCAUAACCUCCGUAGUGGUAAGGAAGUAGGUGAGCCACCUGUAGUUGAAAGUGAGAGAAAAUAUGAAAGAAGAGAAAACAAGCAGUUGAGUGAGUUAGGAGAUGAUAACAAAACAAUUGAUGGGAAAGAAAAUGUGGAAGAGUGUGAGCCACAAAUUGAAGAGGCAACACUAAUUCCUCUACCGGUGCCAUUUCCUCAAAGAUUGAAACCUUCAAGAAAUGACAAAGAAUUUGAGAAGUUUGUUAACAUUUUCAAACAAUUACAUAUUAACAUUCCUUUUGUUGAUGUUAUUUUACAGAUUCCUUCAUAUGCAAAGUUUCUCAAAGAAAUAAUGACUAAGAAAAGGAGGUUAGUAGAUAGUGAAACAAUUUCAUUAACGGAAGAAUGUAGUGCCAUCAUACAAAAUAAAUUGCCACCAAAGUUGAAAGAUCCGGGGAGUUUCACAGUUCCUUGCACUAUCGAUAAUGUAGAAUUUUCUAAAGCACUACGUGACCUUGGUGUGAGUGUUUCAUUGAUCCCUUUAACUGUGACUAGGCAAUUGGGGUUGAAAGAGUUAAAACGUACUAACAUUUCCUUGCAAUUGGCUGACAAGUCUAUUAGACAUCCAAUGGGCAUUUUGGAGAAUAUGCUUAUUAAAGUGCAGAAAUUCAUUAUUCCUGUUGAUUUUAUUGUUUUAGAUAUGGAGGAAGAUGUCAAUGUACCUAUUAUACUUGGUAGACCAUUUCUGGCCACUGCAGAUACAAUAAUAGAUGUUAAAUGUGGUAAAUUUAAGUUCCAAAUUGGUGAAGAGGAAGUGGAGUUUGAUUUGAGUAAAGUGGAGAAGUAUCCCUCUUUUACUGACCAUAUUUAUUCUAUUGACAUAUGUGAUGAAUUAGCGUUAGAGAUAAGUCAAGUUAAUCUUGAUAAUGAUUCUCUUGAACUUUGUCUUAAUGAUGUAGGCUUACAAGAGGAACAAGUUGAAGAAAUGACUGAAUUUUUGCAGGUACAAAUUCCUUACAAAAGGAGAAAUGCGUAUGAGGAGUUAGGGCUGAGCAAAGGGCUACCUCCACCAUCGUGUGAGCAAGCUUCACGGCUUGAGCUUAAGCCACUCUCUAAACACUUCAAAUAUGCAUUUCUUGGAGAAAAUGAGACAUUGCCGGUGAUUGUCAAUACUGCACUAGAUGAGGAACAACUAGGAAAGCUUUUACGUGUUUUGAGGAAACAUUUAAAAGCUAUAGGAUGGACAACUUUUGAUAUCAAAGGAAUUAGUCCAACUAUUUGUAUACACAGGAUUUUGUUAGAAGAAAAUUCUAAGCCGGUGGUUGAAAUUCAAAGAAGGUUAAAUUCAAACAUGAAAGAAGUGAUAAGAGUACAAAUCCUUAAAUGGCUAGAUGCAGGUAUAAUUUUUCCAAUCUCUGAUAGUGUUUGAAUUUCUCCUAUUUAUGUAGUGCCAAAGAAAGGGGGGAUAAACAUAGUACGUGGUAAAAAUAAUGAAAUGAUUUCCUCUAGAGUUGUGGUUGGGUGACGAGUCUGUACUGAUUAUAGAAAACUGAAUGCAGCUACUAGAAAGGAUCAUUUCCCUCUUCCUUUUCUUGAUCAAAUGGUAGAAAGAUUGGCUGGAUAUGAAUUUUAUUGUUUCUUGGAUGGUUUUUCAGGAUACAAUCAAAUAGUCAUUGUACUGAAAGAUCAAGAUAAAACCACAUUCACUUGUCCUUACGGCACUUUUGCAUUUCGAAAAAUGCCUUUUUGAUUGUAUAAUGCACCGGCCACUUUCCAACAUUGCAUGAUGGCAAUUUUCUCUGAUUUUAAUGAGAAAAUCAUGGAAAUCUUCAUGGAUGAUUUUUCUGUAUUUGGAUCUACUUAUGAUCAUUGCCUUAACAAUUUAGAUCUAAUUUUGCAGAGAUAUGAAGAAACAAACCUUGUACUCAAUUGAAAAAAAUGUCACUUCAUGGUUUGUGAGGGUAUUGUUCUAGGGCACAAAAUUUCUUCACAAGGUAUUGAGAUAGAUCAAACCAAGAUAGAGGUUAUUGAGAGAAUGCCUCCACCUACCAAUGUGAAAGGCAUUCAAAACUUUCUUGGACACAUGGAAUUUUAUCGGCAGUUUAUUAAGGAUUUCUCCAAGAUUGCUAAACCUUUAUGUGAAUUACUUGCAAAAAAUAUUACUUUUCACUUUAAUGAUGAGUGUUUAUUUGCUUUUAAUAGGUUGAAAAAGGAACUUGUCUCCACAUCCAUAAUAGCAUCACCACCAGAUUGGAGCUUGCCAUUCGAAUUGAUGUGCGAUGCGAGUGAUUUUGCAGUUGGAGCUGUUCUUGGGUAAAAACAUGAUAAGCGACUUUAUGUCAUUUAUUAUGCAAGUAAAAUGCUAAAUGAAACCCAAGUCAACUAUGCAACAACAGAGAAGGAGUUGCUAGUAGUGAUAUUUGCAUUGGAUAAGUUUAGAUCGUAUUUAGUAGGAUCUAAAGUCAUCAUUUAUACCGACCAUGCAGCACUCAAGUAUCUCUUAAAUAAGAAAGAUGCAAAACCUGGACUAAUUCGAUGGAUUUUAUUAUUGCAGAAAUUUGAUUUGGAGAUCAAAGAUAAAAAAGGAUCCGAGAACUUAGUCGCUGAUCAUCUUUCUAGACUGAAAAACAUGCUUCAAGAAGACCAUUCAUCCAUUAAAGAAGAAUUUUCAGAUGAGUUUUUAAUGGCAAUUUAAAAGUCACCAUGGUAUGCUAAUUUAGUUAAUUUUGUAGUUAGUGGAGUGAUAUCAAGUGAUUUGAAUUCCCACCAAAGGAAAAAAUUCUUAAAUGAUGCUAAACAUUAUUUUUGGGAGGAACCAUUCUUUUAUAAACAUUGUGCAGAUGGAAUAAUUAGAAGAUGUGUUCCGGAAGAAGAGGUACACAGUAUUUUAAUACAUUGUCAUACCCUUGAAACGGGAGGUCAUUUUAGUACAACUAAAACCGUAGCAAAGGUAUGACAAUUUGAAUUUUACUGGCCUACUAUAUACCGAGAUGCUAGAAAUUGGGUUAAAAGUUGUAAUUAAUGCCAAAGAACUGGUAACAUCUCUAGAAAGGAUGAAAUGUCUCUAACUAAAUAUUUGGAAGUUGAACUAUUUGAUGUUUGGGGUAUUGAUUUUAUGGAACCAUUUCCUAGUUCUUUUAAUAAUAACUACAUCUUAGUAGCAGUGGAUUAUGUUUCUAAAUGGGUAGAGGCAAUUGUUUUCACCUACUAAUGACUCUAAGGUUGUACUCCGGUUUCUUAAAAAGAAUAUUAUUUGCAGAUUUGGUAUCCAAAAGACCAUAGUUAGUGAUGAAGAAAAAUAUUUUUGUAAUAAACACCUUCACUCAUUGUUUAAAUAUGGCUGCAGGUACAAGACAUCACUUCUGUACCAUCCUCAAGCCAACGGACAAGCGAAACUAGCUAAUAGAGAGAUAAAACUCAUUUUGGAGAAAACUGUAAUUGAAUCACGCAAAGAUUGGGCUACAAAGCUAGAUGAUGCACUAUGGACUUACCGACCGGCAUUUAAGACACCUUUAAGGAUGUCGCCGUAUCGUUUAGUCUAUGAAAAAACUUGUCACUUACCUGUAGAGAUUGAACAUAAAGCUUAUUGGGCUAUUAAAGCAAUUAACGUGAACUUUAAUCUUUCAGGUGGAAGGAGGCUACUUGAGUUAAGUGAAUUGGAGGAACACCGAUUACAUGCGUAUGAAAAUGCCAAAAUUUAUAAAGAGAAGAUCAAAUAUUGGCAUGAUAAAUAUAUUCUUCCUAAGCAUUUUGAAGAAGGGCAAAAGGUGUUAUUGUUUAACUUAAGACUUAAAUUGUUCCCUGGAAAGCUUAAGUCUCGAUGGUCCGGACCAUUUGAAAUAGCUCACACAUUUCCUUAUGGAGCGGUGGAAAUAAAAGGAGAAAAUGGUGCCCCAUUCAAAGUGAAUGAUCAAAGAUUGAAGCUCUAUUUGGCCGGAGAAAGGGUUCCUAAAGGAGUAAUUUACUCCUUAGGAAACACAAUGGAGAGUUAAGAAAACUGUAGGAGAGUCGAGUUUAACGAUUUUAAAUAAAGCGCUUGUUGGGAGGCAACCCAAUAAUAAUAUUGUAGUUGUGUGUUUUUAUGUGUUUCUUAAAUUUUGGUGUUAUUUGAUUGACUAAUUAUAUGUAUUUCACUUGUUGUAGGGGGUGCCGGCAUUUCAACUUCCAUAGGUGCACUUGAAGAACAAUAGUUAAAAGGGAAGUUUUCUUACCAAAUUCUGUUUUAAGUGUUUAAAAUUCCCUUUCAUGUAUAAUAUGUUGCAUUUCCAUUGUAUUCAAGUAAGUUUUAGUGAUAACAUGUUUAUACAUGUUCAUUGAUUCAUUUGAUGUGUAUCUCAUACCUAAGGGAGCCCUCUUAGUGUAAAAGUGCCAAAAUGAUCAAAGAAACUCACCCCUCGAUUUGCAAUGUAUAUGUGUUUGAUGUAUUUUGAGAGGUUGGAUAUUGUGUUUAUGGUAUAUUACACUUGCGUGAAAGGGUAGAAUUGAUAGAAAUUUCGUCCAAGGUGUAAUUUGGAAAUUGCCGAAAAAGGAGGAAAAAGUUUGAAAAAUUGCAAUUUCUGAAAUUGUUGCAGAAAAAGCCAGAUCCGAGCUCGAAUCCGUUAAAGAUUCAAAGACGAAAUUGGAGAUCCAACCUCGGAUCCGAAGUUGUUCACUAUGAUCCGAGGGCUCAUCUGUGUUUCUGGAAGGCCGGAUCCGAGCCUAUAGGAUCCGAGCCUUGGUAUACACGAUCCGACCUCGGAUUGUGUAUUCUUGAAAAAUUCAGCAUAGGGGAUCCGAACUAGGAUCCAACAAAAUCUAGUAGGAUCCGAGGGCUCGACUGAACUUCUGAAGUAGCGGAUCCGAGCCCUAUCGGAUCCGAGGGAUGCCAGAACCGAUCCGACCUCGGAUCUGUGCGCGAUAAAAACAAAUCCGAGGCUUCGGUUCUGCAUUUGUCCAAUUCUCCUUUUCCUAUUUCACCGAAAACCCUAGCCCUUUUUCACCAAUCUUCCAUUUCAUCCAAUAAUUAUUCAAUCUUUCACCACAAAAACAUCUCCCAACCUCUUGUGAUCAUAAACCCUCAACAAAUUCAUUUUAAAAACAUCAAUUUGGGGGGUUUUGAUCUUCAAAACGGGAAUUCAGGCCGCACUGAAAUCUCGCAAUUUGUGGUCGAAUUUGGGCUUGUUUCUUCAUCACUUUGCAUCAUUAUCAUCCUCCACCAUCAAUCUACACAUUUGAGGUAACAAUUUGCAAUUUUCUUUGAGAUUUUAUAAUUCCCAAUUUUACAUUUUUCUAGUUUUGGACAUAUUUUGGUAAUUGCUCAUAAGUUGAAAUUUUUUGAUACAAUUGUGCUACAUUGUGCUUAAAUAGAUUGUCACAACUAUUUUCAUGCUUAGUUUUGAGAGAAUUGUGAAUUUGGUAUUAUUUUGUAGAUUUUUCUUCUAAAAUUUUAGGUUAAUGCACAUGAACUCUUUAAUGAAUGAAAUUACUCCUCUAUGUGAACUACUUGCAUGCUUAAAAUUGAGAAAAUUGUUAUUAUAGUGAUAUUUUUGUAUAUUUUUCUCAAUUUUUAAGUUUAAGCAUGUUAAAUCUUUUGCUUGAAUAUUCCUUGUUCUUAGAGAUAAUUGGCAUUCAUUAAGAAGAAUUGGAGCUCAUUAGUUGGUACUUUGGUGAUAAUGUGUAUAGCCAAUUGGUGUGUAAUUGUUGGAUAAAAUCAUGAGAUAAUUGGCCCGUACAUUCUUGAAGUAAUGAAAUUGAUCUUUUAAGAGUCCUUUUUACUUUGAGAUUAUAUUCUAUUGAAAUAUGCAUCAAUUCUUAAGAGAUUGGACUUUUUAAUGAGAUUCUAAUUAAAAUAUGCUGUUCAAUUGUUGAAAGUGGAAUAUUCAAACAAUGUGUUGAGAUUGUAGAUUGAAAUUGAUAUCAUGCAUGUGCAAUGAGCUUGUGAAUUGGUUAAAUACGAUAUGGCCGUGAAUUUGUUGAUUGUUGGCAGGGAGUUUUUUCCUUUUAUUAGGGGAAACUCUGCCGAAAUUUUCCCAAAUCAUUUUUAAACAUUGUUGGUCGUGUAUUUUCAAGGGAUUUAGAAUUCUUCUAAUGUGUGUUUGAUCUUGUUUUUGAUAUAGGUACCAUGACUCGCACAAGACGAUCUCGUGUUCGCACUCCUUCACCUUCUUCAAGUGAAGAGCAUACUCCUUCAAUGCCUAAGGAGUCACCAGGGGAAGAAUCUCCUUCACCACAGUCGCCGCCACGCUUACGGCGUAAGAGAGCAUCUACGAGCCAUGAGAAGCUAGCUCUAGAUUAUGACACCACUCGUUUUAGACAAAGAGAUCAUAAUUGAAAAACACUUGGCCCCGGAGAUGGAUGACCACUCACUACAAGAAAAUUGUUCAUCAGUGACAACACAAAGUCAUCACAGAACAUACAAAUAUCGUCACAAAUACCUUUUAUUGACGACUUUUCGAUCGUCACAAAGUCGUCACUAAAUCCCCGUCGGUAAAAGUAAACAGUGACGACAUUUUAGGUAGAGCAUUUUUGACAAAAGAUCAAUUCGUCAAUAAAACACUUCCAGAUUGUCGUCACUAAUGACAACUAUUUAGUGACAACUAUUUGGUCGUCACUAAAUAGUUGUCAUUAGUGACGACAAUCUGGAAGUGUUUUAUUGACGAAUUGACCUUUUGUCAAAAAUGCUCUACUUAAAGUCGUCACUAAAAAGCACCGAAAGCCAUUGUAUAUAACUAUUUUACUGACAACAAUUGUCGUCACAAAUGUAACUUAGAUUUAGUGACAGUCUCUGUUGUGACAAGGAGUUUUUAUUUUCUAUUUUGUGACAACUUUUUUUUGUCAUUAGAUAAUUUCAUAAUAGCUUAAUAGUCAUAAUUUGGCCUGUAAUCAUUGCUAAAUCAUUGAUUUUGAACAAACCAUACAAAUAAACAUAAACGAUUGAUAACCAAAAGUAUUUGCAUUAGAUUACAUGGUAAUAAUAUAGCAUUCUCAAAUGCCAAAUUCAAGUGUACAUUGCCCAACUAAUGCCUACAAAAAUAACAUUUGUCCAAAAUAUCACUUGUACAUAAGGUACAUUUACAAAAGCAAUCACAGUUUAAGAAAUUGAAGAACAUCUAAAUGAACCACUCCAUGAGCAAAAGGCAAUUUUGUCUUCAACAUUCUUCAACCAUAACCAUAGAUAUCUUCCAAAAGCUAGUAUGAAUAGCAUUUAUCUGUCAUAAAAGAGUAAAAGAAGUAGGUAAGGGGAGGAGUACAAUAAUAAAGAACAAGUAAUGAGACUUAGAUUAUUAAGACAAAAAUUACAAUUCAUUAAGAAUCUCAUAUAAUUUGGGCCCACAUAUUACAACACCAGCAAGAAGUUAGAAAUCACAGUCCAAUCUAUACAAAUACAACACUGCAUAAGCUCAACUAAAGAGCUCUCUAAAACAGUUUUUUUUUAAUUUUCUUUCUUCUUCUUUAAAUAGCUCAACUUAUUGAACAAUUAAAUUGGACUCCCACAGUAAUUAUUGUUUAAUGUUUAUGCUUUUGGUUGUUUAUAUAUUAAAACUAGGUGAUUGCUUCCCACGCAAGGCAUGGGAACUUUAGACCUGUUAGUAAGGUUGUAUUUGUUAUUGUAAUAUUUUUAAUAUUUUAGAUGAUGAAAAGAGUGAUGUGAUGUGUAUCGUGAACUUGGGCUAGGAGUGAAAAGGAGUAUUAGUCAAAAAUAUAUUAGUUCCAAGAGUAGUCAUGUACUAAUACAAAGGAUACAGCCAAUGCAGUAAUGAUGAUUCACAAGAAAAAGGAAAGCAUGAUAUUUACAUAUACAACAGUAAUUUAGUAUAGAUGAUUCAAAAGAAAGAGGCUCCUUUGACGUUCAAAUACAUUCCAUUAUCAUGUAACAACAACUCAGAUGACAAUGAAAUAAAUUCACAAGUACCAAUCACUUGGUCAUUACUGCAGUAACAGUUAAUGGAAGUAGCAAGAUAUUGCUACAACUUGGUCACAUGCAAAUUUUUUUUUUGUUCUGGGUUCACAAGGAAUGAAUUCAUAAAUUAUGAAGCAGCAAAAUAAAUUCACAAGUACCAAUCACUUGGUCAUUACCACAGCAACAGUUUCAAUACCAACAGUUUCAACUUUCUUGAGACAAUCAAGUUGCAUCUUAAGUUUGCAAAAUAUCAAGUUUUACAUGUCCAUUAAAAAUUUUAAAAAGUACCUUUGCUUUCAUCACCACCUUUCCGGCUUAGGAUACCUCCUUGAACACCACCCCCAUAAAGCCACUGCUUCAUCUGGUUUUACACUCUUGUUGGGUUCCUUUCCAUCAAAGUAGUCCUUGAGAAGUUAUUGGACUUUUGGGAUCCUGGUAGCCCCACUAACAGGAACAAUUUCAUGCAUCUGGUGGUUCUCCAAACCAGCAUCCCCCAUAGCCUUCUUGACAAGUCCCAUGUUUUUGCUAAAGAGGUCAUUGUUCAACUCGUCAAAUCAAGCAUGAGUCUUAACUUGCUGCUGGCUGCUUAAAGCUCUUUUGGCACGGUCAGCUUCCCUCAGUUUUCCAAGUGGUCUGUUGUGGUUGCUGAUGUUCUUUCCAUGUUUCUUGUUAAUCAACUUGAUGAAAUAUUCUAUAAUCCUUUGAUGAAAGCCUUUGCCUACAAUAAAACAGAGCAAUUAGAACCAUAUGAAAGCUUUUUAUAAGAAAUGUAACUAAUAAAACUUAUACAAGAAAUUGGUUGCUUUAAUUAGUGUAGUUAGAUAAACUUUUUUAAUUCGUAGUUAGACAGGCAACUGCUGCUGCUCUGGGUUCAUUGAUAGUCCUAGCAACAUUCAGCCCAGCAAUAAUACCUGCAUUCUUUGUUGCCUGCCUCUGGGCAUCACUGAAGUAAAAUAUGAUUCAACGAGUAACUCUAGAAAUUGAACUAUACCGGGAACAGUUACCACAGCAUCCUUAAUUUUCUUUGCAAGGAAAGCUUCAGCUGCUUCUUUCAUCUUAGUUAAAACCAUUACACUAAUUUCCUCAAGACUGAAGACUUUAACCUUACUAUCCUUAAUUUUCACCUAGAUAUAAGGUUUUCCAUCCUUGUUCACAAUCUUACAAGGAACGAGCUUCAUAUCCCUCUAAACUUCAUUAGUCUCAAUCCUGUUAUAUAACAGUUAAGACUUCAGUGAGCAUAUGUAUACACACCAAAAUGUUCCAGCAAAAAUGAUAAAUACACGAGUGUGCCUUACUUUCAUCCAAUAAAUCUCUUGACAUCAAAGAUAGUUCUUUCAACAUUAACAUCGAAUCAGUCUUUCGCUACCAGCAAAUGCAAUCCAUGAUGGCUUAAUACGAUUCCUUGGUCAUUUGCUGUGAUUUCAACAUGACCAUUUUUGUAAAUAUGAGCACAUGAAUAGGUAGUUCCAAGAUCUAUUCCAAUGACUAUUCCCAAUUUUGCAGCUUAUUCUUUGGUGAUGGAAAUUGUAGAUAGACAGCCUUUUGCACCGAAAAAUAUUAUUGGAAAAAGUAAAACUCUUAUGUAUAGUUUUUGAGAGAAAAAAACUAAAACACUGCAGGAUGAAGCAAUUCCACACUCAUGAUGAAAUCCACAAUUACUCGAGCAACCGUGGGAUUGAAGAGUUCGAAGAGCUUGCUCAAACAUUGUGGUGACCAUCCCAAGAACAAGUGGAAAAAAUAAGAACUCAUUUAAUUUCAAGAAAAUGAAAUGAACAUCAAGUAUCAAACUAACAAACAGUGCAGGAACAGAAGAAGGAUAUGAACUGCGAAGAACAAUCUGAUAGAUAGCCUAGUGGUUAAUGGUUUUUUUUCCCAUCUCCCUUUUUUCUUCCUUCCCAAUCCUUCCUUGCUAAAAAAUGGCUUUGAAAGUAUCAAAUAGUACCUAUCAAAUUAGCGAACUGAGUUAGUUUAAAGAAGAUCCUAUAAUAGUUAUUCUAAAAAUCUUUAGUCACUUGCUACGUGAGGAGGGCGUGGCAGAUAAUAACUCUUUGUUUUUUGGCUCAUUUCGAAUUGAUAUACUUUUUGGCUUAAUUGGAGAGAACUAAUUUGAAUCAUUUCCAACCAGUUUACAGAUAAAAAAAAUUUCAUUUAUGAAAAUGAAAUAGAAAAAAUAAUAGCACAAAAACAAUGAAAAUAGACAUCAAUGGCUAGUAAAAAAAAGGUGUUCUUUUAUCAUUGAAAAUUAGGCCAAUGCUGAUCAAUGAGCUAUAGUUGUUUGACUAUCAACAGACAUAAUAUCAAGAAAUUACGAGAGCUUUUUUUGCUGUAACAUCAACAGGCAUAAUAUCAGAUGUGUAAUCUUGUUUUACCAGAGUUUCUGCCUAUACAGUGAUAAUCUAGCACAUUAACAGGCAAAAACAAUAAUCAGGCAGACAGUCACUGAAUCGAAUAAUCAGGUAGCUUAUUUUCAUUGAGCACCACCUUGCCAUCAGAUGAUUUUCAUGAAUCACUUAUCAGCAUCUUUGACUACAAGAAUUAGUACCUUUUAAUAGAUCAGCAGAAAGCCGCAAGAUUUUUCCAAACUUUAUCAACCACGCUGCAUAUCACAUGAUAUUAUUCCCAUUCAAUUGUUGAUGGAGGCUUGGAAGUAAUAUCUUGAACAACUCGAUUUACACCACAUACACUAUUGCAUAUCUUUCUUGCAACAACAUCAAGGAAAUUGUGUUCAAAAUUGUACCAGUCAGCAGUCAUCCCAUCUUGAUUUGUGACAGCUCUCAAUGCAACAACAUGAGAAUGUGUUCUUUGAUCACCUUGAACUCCAACAGACCUUAUGGGCAAGAAAACAGCAAAAGCUUGCUAUAUUUUAAAAAAAACAACCAAACCAAAUCAAACCAACCUUUACUAAUGAUUCUAAGAAAAACCCACUUCAAUUUUGCCAAGAAACAAAUUGCAAAACAAAUGAUACAGGAAAAGAAACAUCCAACUUCAUAAAACUAAACAAAAAAGCCAUAGAAAACAACAGAAAACGUAAAUGGAGUUUGAAAGUGAUAUUCUUAGAGGGGUUCAAAUGCAACUAAAUAGGGACUUAACUGAAUGAAUUAUGGAUGUUUUAGGGUCGAAUUAAGUUCAGGAACUCUGGGGCUAAAUUACAAAAAAGAAAAUGGAAUGACCGGAAUUGCAAAUUUAAGCAAACGAUCGUCUUCCCCAAGCAGAUUAGGCAUCAAUCUUCUAUUUAGACCUUCACUCGGGCAUUUUAACAAACAGUACAUGGGCAUAGAAGGAUCCAGCAAUUUUUGCUCAAUUGGGACUGUAAUUAGCCCCCCAAAAUUUGUCAAAACACAAGAGAUUUCAGUCCAAACAACAUACAAUAGCAUACAAUCUAAAAUCGUUAGCAAUCAACAUGAAGUUGGCACUGAACAAACGCACGGCAAACAUGCUUUGAGACUUUUCAAUGUUCAUACUAAAAAUGGAAAACUAAAAUUCAAAGAAGGCAGACCGCUUAUAGCGUUUGCUUGGCGAAGUCUGCAGGCGAUGGUGAUGGUCGAAGGAAGGUGCGAAUGAUCAGGCGGCUAUAGCUGCCAUGGUAGCCACGCUGGAGCUGGGCGCCAGUGGUGGGUGGCAACAUGAAAUCGAGGAGCGACAGUGAGAGAGAAAGGUCGUGCGGGAAGGGGAGAUGCGUCAGGCAGCUAGGCGGCGCACGAAAUGGAGGUGCCGUGGCGGAACUUGGAGGCGUCGGAAAUUGGAUGAGAGCAGAGUGACGGCAGCUAUGGAGAUUGCGCUCUGUGAUGGCCGAUGAGCGGCUGUUGCUCUGUAUUUUCUUUGUGUCCCCUCUAGGCCAAGACCUUUCUCUGUUUCUGGUUUCACUUCCUCAAUCACCAGCCCCCAAAUGAAACUUUAGUCUUUUCCUUCGUUCCCCUGCCGACGACCCCUUUUCUUCCUUGACAGCUAAAAGAUUUUGGGCAGAAAUUUGCAAAAAAUAUUGUAGAAUAUUAGGGAUUUGGAAAAAUUGGGGAAAAUGUAUAGGAGAGAGAAAAAUGAACCUUUCCAAUGAAAACCUUGCCCUUUAAUGCUGGACAGCCAUGGUGAUGCUAGUGAGAAGCCAGAGAACGGAUUUGUUGUGUGGGUGAAGGUAUCAGGUGCCGUGUGGAAGCUCUGUUUUGUGCUCAGUGCAGAAGCUUGUUUGUUUCAGCUCGGUGAAAGUUUGUGUUGCUCAAGUGUUCCGUUGCUUUAACUCAGACCAAGUGUUCCGUUGCUUUUCUUUUCAGAAUGUGUUCCGCUGCUUUGGUCUUUGCUUUGCUUUGGAUAUUGUUUUUGUUGCGCGGCACUUUCACUAUGAUUUGAUCAAAAUUUUGACUUCACUCAUUUUCCCUCCAUUUGAUACCAAAAUUCAUGUUUUUUUCUGGAUUUGUAAUAUGGUUUGAACCAUAGAUUUUAAUGCUAUAGUAUUAUUCUUUAUUUUUUAGCAAAAAAUAAAAAUUUUCAUCAACAUAGGUGGCAAAAUUUGUUAAUUUCAUAUAAUUGAAAAUGUACUUUUAUAAUUUGCUAAUAUUUUAUACUAAUUUCUUAUAAUUGCAGCACUAAAGAACAUCAUGUAAUUCAAAAUAAUUAAACUCAAAUUAUAUCGUUAUAACAUAGUUUCAAUAAAAAUAAUCAUUUUCCCAACAUUUGAGACCAAUCAUCAUGCUUUUUUUAUUUUUAAUUUGGUUUGAAGCAUAGAUUUUAUUGCUAUAGUAUUAUUCUUUAUUUUUUAGUACAAAAACACAAAUUUUCAUCAAUAUAGGUGGCAAAAUUUGUUAAUUACAUAUAAGUGAAAAUAUACUUUUAUAAUUUGCAAAUAUUUUAGCCCUGCAAUUUUUUAUAAUUGCAGCACUAAAGUACAUCAUUAAUUGAAAAUAACGAAAGUCAAAUUCUAUGGUUAUAACAGACUUUCAUUAAAAAUAAUCAAAUGCUAUUAAUAAGACAUUAUUGUUAAGUCAAAAUCAAAGAAAAUUUAGUGAUGACAUAAUGUUAUCACUAAUUUAUUCAAGAUUAUAAUGACAAGAAAAGUCGUCACUAAUUAAAUUGCUAGUUUUUAAUAUUGUCAAUUGCUAGUUUUUAAUACUUUUGUGAAAAUACUGAUAAUGGUUGAGAAAAUUUUGUUACAUUACUGCAAGUGAUAAAUGUACUUUUGUUCUUUUUCAAACAUUUAUUUUAAUGUUUAAUUUUGUUUAAAACUAUUGUACUAGUAUAGAUUUGCAAAACAAAACUUAAGUUCUCAAUAGUUAAAAAAUUCAUUACAGAGAAAACACAAAGUAGUAGUUGCAAAAUGUGUAUAAAUUACAGAUAUUUUAAUGUGUAUAAAUUACAGUUUAUUUUAAUAUUUAAUUUUGUUUGAAACUAUUUUACUAGUAUAGAUUUGCAAGACAUAGAUUUAUGGGUAAUUUUUUUUUUUUGCUUUCACAUAUUUAAUUUAUGUUAAAUACAAAACCUACCAGUUUCCCUUUCAUAAAAAUAUUAGUGCAACACUUUUUGAAUUUUACUUACAAACAUUUAUGUAUUUAACGUAAAUUAAAUGAUUCAGAGUGAAAUGCCCAUAAAGAGCAGAAUAUUUAUUCAUGUAAUGGAGGAAACCCACAAGGAGUUGGUACUUUAUGGGCCAUUUCUUUUUUUAAAAAAAUUUAAUUUAUGUUGAAAAGAUAACCUGCCAGUUUUCGUUUUGUAAGAAAUCAGUGUAAUACUUUUUGAAUUUUACUUACAAACAUUUAUAAAUUUAUCAUAAAUUAUAUGUUUGAGAGUAAAAUGCCCGUAAAAAGUUGGUACUUUAAAUAGAUAAUGCUCAUUUGCCCAUAAACUACACUCCCUAAAGGCUAUUUUGUUAAUUAUUUUGUAGUACUUUGUUAUUCCUUUGCUAAUACUACUUGGCAUGUAGUACAAAGGAUAAAUCUGGCAUAAAUUUCUUAUUCCAUUGAUAAAAAGACCUGCCUGCCUUAUAACUAUUGUAAUGAAAGAUAUAUCUUUAGAGUUUAUAACAAAUUAUUACUUAAGUUUGAGAAAAUUAUAAAAUAUUUAUGCAUAGUUUAUCAAGAUACCAUUCGCAAUUUCCUAAUAAAAAAAUAGGGGCUAAAUUGUAAAAGCUAGGGUGCCAUAAUAGAAAUAAUAAAAUUGGUGUAUUACAUAUGGGGGUUAAAUUGCAAAAGUUAGAGUGCCAUAGUAGAAUUAAUAAAAUUGAAUUAAUAAAAUUGGUGAAUUACAUAUGGGGCUAAAUUACAAAAAUUAGGGAGUAAUAAUAGAAUUAAAGAAAUCGGUGCACUACAUAUGGGGCUAAAUUGUAAAAGUUAAGGUAUCAUAAUCGAAUUAAUGGAAUUUUUUACAACAUUUGGGGCUAAAUCGCAAAAGUUAGGGUGGCACAGUAGAAUUACAGAAAGUGACUUAGAAAUAAGUACUUUAAACAGUGACGAUUAAUUCUUGUCACUAAAUCCAAAUCGGUAGAGUGACAGUGACGAUAUUAGAAGUUGUCACUAUAUAGAUCAUUUUAGUGACAACUUUUUCAAGGUCGUCACUGAACACUUAGUUGCUUUGAGCAAUUAUGACAACUUUCCUUGUCGUCACUAAACAAUCACGUUUUGUGACGAAUUUUGUCGUCACUAAAAAAUGUUGUCACUAAUGACCAUAUUUCUUGCAGUGUAGUUUGUGACGAAAAUAACGGGUCGUCACUAAACAUUUAGUUGCUUUGAUGCAAUUAUGACAACUUUAGGUGUCGCGACUAAAGAAGCUCCUUUUGUGACGACUUAUUGUCAUCACUAAAAAAUGUUGUCACUAAUAAAUUUUUUUUUUAGUGAUCAGUGACGACAACAAAAAGUCGUCCGUAAAUAGGCCAAGCAAUAGUGAUGAUGUUCUUAAUGUCGUCACUAUUGUGUGUUCUAAACACUCCCGCGCUCUUGCUAAAACUUGGCGGGAAUUUACUAAGUCGUCACAAAUGGGUUGGCUCCCAUUAGAGGUUUGUGACGAGUUAGAAAUUCGUUAAUAAAUGAUCCACUUUUGUGACAACUUUUUUUCGUCACAGAGAAAAGUUGUCACUGAUGACCAAUUUUCUUGUAGUGACUACAAGAUCUCCACGGCAUUCAAGUGACUUAGAUGGGAGACUAUACUAAAUUUGCCGAAGCAUUACUAUCCCAAUCUGGUCCGGGAGUUCUACGCCAAUGUGGAAGACAAAUAGAGCCACAGUGGCAACCUUAUCAUCUCCUGGGUUCGAGGCAAGAGAGUGGCUCUCACUCGACAUACAAUCACCCAAAUCGUCAAACUAAAGGACAAUGGAGAAGAUGUUAAAUUGACUAAGGAAUUUAAGGCACGUGAUCCAUGGCAAGUCGGAGAAACUGUGGCACGUCUUAAGGGUCAAUAUCGGGAGUGAGGAAGUUCGAAGAAGCUCAUUGUAUACGCCGAUUCCUUUGAGCAUAGGUACCACCUGAUCUUCUAUCUCUUCGCCUUCAAUGUGGUACCAAAAAGGAGUGGAAAAAGGGAGCUCCGAAACGGUGACUUGUAUUUCCUCGAUAAUAUGAUGCAUGGUGUAGGUAGGCUGCUGACUGGUAUUCCUCUGGCCAGCAUCAUCAUCAGUUACAUGCGUACUACAGCUUGCAUGAGAGCCGACGAAACUUGCUUUGGGUUCCCUCGUUUGCUCUCCCUUAUUUUUAAGCAACUCAAGGUUCCUCUGGGAACCGAGUGAGCCAUUGUUACUAGGGCAGCCGAGGAAGUCAACGGCUCAGUACUUAGGUCCUUAGGUAUUCCUACGGAUUUUGGAGCUUCUCUGGUACAGGAUGUUGGAGAAGCAUCGACUUCAGCUUAGCCUCCAGCUCACACUGAACCACACCAGGAAGCUCAAGAGAUGGAGGCAUAGCAGACUCUCCCUCCUCCCAUUCCACGACCACCCCCUCCGCAAUGAUCCAAGUGGCAAGAGGCCCUCAAUGCCAUAUGCUGUAUGGAGACACGAGUCAUCAAGCGCAUUGAUCAGACGGAGCGGCUGAUGACGGAGCGACUAGACAGGCAUGAUCGCCAUCUUCGAGCGAUCGAGGAUCAUUUCCACAUUCGCCGCUCCCCUACACCGAUUCCUAAGCCAAGGCCCGAUGAGGGCAUGCAGAUCGUGAGGAGGGUGGCAGCAAUGCAGAUCAUGAGUUGGGCGGCAGCACUGAAGCGACUGAGCUUGGCGUCUCCUCUGCAUAAUUUACUUUCUUUUCAGCUUUUAUUUAGUUUUUCAUCUUUUAUUUUCGAUUUGGUGUUAACUUUUUGUUAUUUUUCUAUUUUUCUUAAAACUUGUGGAAUGGUCUCACUCUCUAUGGAUAUAUAUUUUUCCCUUCAUACAGAAUUUGGCUAGUAGAAUUUGGAUGAUCGUGAUGAUCGUGGUUUCAAAUUGCAUCACUACUUCUUUUGAGAGGAGUAUUAGUUUCUUUUACCUUCCUCUACAAUGAGGACAUUGUGAAUUUUAAGUGUGGGGGAGGGAUUACUUUAUCUUAUGGGGUGAUUGUGUUUUGAAGUGCAUGAUUUUAGUUAUUUAUGGCCUAGAAAUGUUGGAAUCAUAUUUGGAAAUAUUGUCAUGAAGAUAAUUUUCUUGAAAUUGAGGCUGUUGGCAGGGAGUUUUAUCCAUAUAUAUGGGGAAACUCUGUCAAAAUUUUUCUAAAAUAUUUUCCAAUAUUUCAUUGCAAUUCUUUCCAAUAAUGGCCGAAAUGUUCAAUUUUAAAUGUCUAAUUCUUCCAUUGGAUAAAAUGUUAUAUAUAUUUUGGAAAGUUUAGUCCUUAUUUGACUUGGCAUUAGUCAUUAUGCAAUUAGGAUUUUACAUUUUAGAAAGUAUAUUCGGUUAAAUAAGGAAAAUUAUGCUUAGAAUUUUGCAGGUUUAAUGAUAUUUCUCAUUUUUACUUAAUUUUAUAAGUAAGUGAUUGAUAUAGUCAAAACAAGGCCAGAUUCAUCCUUUAAUUAUGCUCAGAGGGAAAUUGAUUAUUAAAAAAAAAAAUUCUACUCCAAUGAUUCGCAUACUGAGUAACCGGGGGUUAGCAUUUACAAAUGUCGACAUUCGCGUAAAAAGGUAUUGGAAUUAAAAGUAUGCCUAGCAAUUUAAAUGAGUGAAAUGUUGAGUAACCGGGAAUCUUCACCUAAAAGUGUAGAUUUUCACGUAAAAAGGCAUUGUCACUAUUUAAGUAAAAUGAAGUAUAAAAAAUCCCUCUCAGUUAUGAAAAUUUUGAUGGAUAUAUGAUGAGAAAUGCCAUAGAAUUGACUAUGUGAUUUACUUAUUUGUGAAAUUAGGAUAGGAUGAGAGAUUGAGUUGAAAUUGUUAAAAUUAAGGUAUAAUUAUCUUUAUUUAACUUGAUAUUAUGAGUAUUUAGUGUAAUCUGAGAAUUGGUAUAAUGAUUGGUUUCUAGGUUUUGAGGAACUAAAAUUGACAAAAGUACGUAUAUUAUUUUAUCUCUUGAAUCAUUGUAGUAAGUUAUGUGUAAAAUUGCUUGAGGACAAGCAACGAUUCAAGUGUGGGGGAAUUUGAAAGAGAAUAUUUAACGUACAUUUUGUACAAGUUUGGCAUGAACUUUUGGUAUGUUUUGAGAAGAUUAAAACCAUAUUUGCACUCUUUUGGUGAUAAAUAUUUAAAUAUUGUUUAAGUGUUCAAAACUUGAUAAAUGAGUGGAUUAAUACGUUAAUUUUGUGAAAUUGUGAAGGAUAUUGAUAUAUGAAAUUCAUGCACGAGAUGAAGGAAAUGUAAGGAUCGUCCAGAGGAUAAAGUACAAAAGAAACUAGGAGCAAAAGUGAAGAAAAAGGAAAGAAGUGAAAAACUGGAAAUUGAUUAGCACGGAUCCGAGUUUGGAUCCGUGUGAACAAAGGGCGAUUCGAGCCCUCGUCUGUACUUCUGGAGCAGUGCAUCCAAGGCCAGACGAUCCAAGCUCGGAUCAUUAAGAGAAAGGCCUCGGAUCAGUCUUGAUCCGAGCUCGGAUCGUAGUGCACACCUCGGAUCCAAGGCUCGGAUCUACCUCUCUCUUCUGCAAGUGGCACAGCCAUUUUUUCUCAUUUUUCACACAACUUUUCAGCUAUCUUGGGUGAGAGAAUUCGGUGGCACAUGUUUCUGCAACAAAAAGGAAGACAAAAUGAGUUAUUGACAAGUCAAAACAACAUUUCUUUUGACUUUCUUUACAAAAUCUGAGUUGUUGGAAUCAUGAAGGAGAAGAAAGUGCCUUUCUACCACCUUUUAUGCAGAGAACCAAGAAGUCAGGCAUCACCAUAUGGAAGGAGUUUUUCAUCUUGUAACAUUUUUCUCUCUAGCUAGAAGUUCUAAAAACAAGCACUUGGAGAUUUCACUUGUAAUUAUCUUGUACAAGACAUAGCAGAAAUUUGAGGGUUUCAUCAUUAAUUGGCUACGCUUUUCUUUAUCUUUCUUGUACUUGUACUUUAUGAUGUUUUGCAUUAAUAAACUUGUGAGUUUGAUUGUUAUAUCAUUCAUGAGUAGCUAAAUUUCUUUAUCUAGAGAGUAGAUGAAACUUAUGGCUAAAUGAUAUGAAUUGAAUGUGAUUUAAACUUGUUAUAUCUUGUAUUAACUUGUCUAUUUGUGCAGUUGUAAUUACUUGUUGUUGUUUGAUCACCAAUAGCAUGUUUAUAGUUGUUAUUAAUCAAUGAGAAUUGGUAGUAACAAUGGAAAAAACAUGAGUAGAGCUUGAGUUGUAUGUUCAUGAAAAUAGAUGUACACUUAAGUGGAUUAGCUAGCAUUUCAUGAAGGAAAACAGAGUAGAACUAGUAUUUCACCAUGAAAAUAGGGAAAACUGGAUUGCUCUAGGCCAUUUUAUCAUGAGAAUGAGAUUUGGUAAUAUUGGAAAUGAAUCCCUGGUUAAACAACAAUAAUAACAAGAGAAAUUUAUUCAUUUGUGUUGUUUAUGCCAUAAGUGGAAUCUACAUCCCUAAAUUUAUUCUUGAGUGAAAUUUAUCCAUUUGCAUUUAGCAUUUGUUAAACUAGAUUUAUAGACAAUAGCAUUAUAAUUUCUCUACUCAAAUUCAUUUAUAAGUCUAAAUAAUAGAGAAAAUAAGGGUUUAGUACUUGUUUAAAUUGCUCCUCGUGGGAUCGACUCGAUAUAUACCUUACAUUAUGAUUUCGGCCUGUAUACUUGCAGGCAACGGGUAUAAAAUCGGAUUUAAACUUACAUUGAUAUAAAAAUCCCGUCACAUAUGUGAGAUCAAAUUAUUUUACUUAUUUCUUUUAUUCAUUGGUAUUUGUACAUUUUCUGAUUUAACUUCAUAUACUUGUUAUGUUAUUUGAAUGUCAAGGGCCCGAUAUUCGAAUUAACCUAAUAAUCUACUGUUAGAUUAAUUGAUUGAAUCCCUAAUUGUUCAAUUGAUUAAUACCAGUGGCAACUAGCGUGAUUGGUUUCAUGUUAGGGAAACGUAUGAUCUAACUUAAACGAACCCUCGUAGCGUGUUUGUUAAUUAAGGUUGGCUUUUCUAAUUCUUAUUGCAAUUGAGAAAUUAAAUCCUAUAGUCGUACCUAGGGUUAUUUUUUGGUUAGGAAAAUAGUUAAUGGUCGUACCUUGACUAUCGAAAAAGUAAGAAAAAGUUGGUUGUUUAUCGCGUGUAUAACAACUAUAACCAAUCUAUUAAUUAGUAAUUGAAUUAUCUUUGCAUCGAUGAUCAGUUGAAAGGACCAUGUCUGAAAAGUUGCACCUUUGGCUAGAGUUGUAUUGGUUAUUGAUUAAUUCCUGUUGAUUUCUAUUAGUUGUUUCAUUAGUUGAUUAAUUAGUUAUUUUAUAUUUUUCAAAAACCCCCCAUACUUCGGACUCUGGAAGAAAUGAAUUAUCCCCAGUCCCUGUGGAUUCGACCCUACUCACCGCUAUAUACAAAUUUGUAUUUUUCUUGAGUAGGUAAUUAUUAUUGCACAUGUUCAACACCUGUCAUUCUAUAACUGUAUACAGAGUCAUCUUUUUCAAAGAUUUCCCAUGCUGCAAAAUGUACUCUACGAGCUUUAUUUCAUCUUCCUCCCCUAUAAAUUGUCUGAUUCCAAUAUGCCUAAGAUGUUCAACAAAGCGUAAUGGGAAAACUAUUUGGAAAUGUAGAUUCCAGGUCCUUGUAUAUGCAAAGUCCUUCUUACACAACUUUACAUAUUGAGAAGAUCAAAAAUUGCAAAACAUAAUAAUACUUGAAAUUAGUGAGAAUAUAUCCAAAAGAAACAAAAUAUUAAUACCUGAAAUCAGGUUUUACAAUCUGUGCACAAAAAGCACCUAAACCCAAAUGGCCCAUGUUGGAAUAGACCAAGUUUAGUUCAACUGCAGAAAUUCCUAGUACAAUGGAACUGCAACUUCAACUUCAGUAAAUUGCAAGCUGAUAUUAUGAUUCUAUAAAUCCUAAAAUCUCCCCCAAGUCCUCUUGCCUCCAGCACAAAGUAUGUACAUAGAUGCUGACCUGUUCUAUACACUUGUAGGUAAAUUCAAAUCAGACGGCAUUCAAUAGAACUGCCUUGAUUUGGCUGCAUAUUAGCACUACUGCUCUUUAAAUCUAACUUGAUUAAGCUGCACAAAAAGGGAAGAUUACAUUCGAUGGAGAAAUUUUACUGAUUGCAGAUGAAAUAGGGGCUAAAAUCAACUAGGAAAAGCAGAGAAGUUAACCUCAACCGACGAGGAAACAAGAUGCAAAAGUCAGAAGUUGUUAGCUUAAACCUCAACCGAAAGAAAAAUGCAAUCUUUGAUAUUAAACACAUAACCCACAUAAGUUAGCUUCACAGAGUCCAGAAGGAUGGUUGGAACUCAAUUUUCCUAAAAUUGUGAGGAAAAUAAUGCAAUCUUAGAAAUCUAACACAAAUAAUGGUAAUAAAAACACACAAGAAGGGUAUGAAAACUUACAAAAUGGCGCCAAAAUAUAGAUCUAACAAUAUUUGAAGCAAAUGGAUGAAGCAUUGAAGUUGUUCUAAGAUUUUUGGGCAGCAAUAAAACCUAAGCUCCUUCACGUUUAGCAAUUCUUAGGAGAUAGACAGGAGGCGGGUCUUCUUUUUUAGCAAUUCCUCAGAGGUCUCCUUCCCGUUUAGCAAUUCCCGCAUAUGUUCUUCUAUUUUUGGACUAAAAACCACCGAUGUUGGCCUUUGAGAGAAGAACAGAUGCGUGCUUCUCAAUUGACAGAGACAAGAGAGGACCAACCUUUCUAUGUAUAUAUCCCUCAGCCUCUAACAAGCCUUUGAAUUUUGAUGGAAGGACGUUGCGGGAAAAAUAAAAUUCUUGGAGGGAAUAAAACGCGCGUCCUAAAUUCUGAUUUAAGUUUUGUUGUUAAAAGUUUCUAAGAAUUGAAGUAUAUUAUAAUAUAUAUAGAAUAAAUAUUGAGUAUUAGAAGUAUAUAAUUUGAAAGAAAUCAUGUGAGGACUCGAAAAUUUUUAUUAUUUUAAAAUCCCUAAUUUUGGCUCAAUUAAUUAAUUAUUUGGAUUUUUAUCACGAAUAAUAUUUUCUAGCCUUAUUAGACCGAAGUACAUGGUUUUAUAGAUUCGUUAUAUUUUUAAAGCACCUCAUUUCAAAAAAUUAUUAUUUUUUUUAAAAAGCUUGUUUAGCGGAAAAGUGAAAACGUGUCUAAACACUUUAGCCAAUUGGGAGUACAAUAAGCUCAAAAUUUGAGACCUAUACAAUGGUCCUAAAAUAGACAAUUUUAGGUUUAAUUAUACAAGUGAUAGCUAGUGGUACAAUCGUUAUAAGAAUUUUUCAAAGGUUUCAAUUUUUAUUGCGCCUAAAUUAGAAAUACGUGUUUGCACGUGCGCGCUUAAUUGAGGGACUUUGGACCAUUAUUUUGGGACAAUUAAGAAUGGAUAAUAUUUAUAUAAAUGUAAGUACCCUAGAGGUUUAGUGCACUAGUGCAACAAACGUAAGAGAAAUCGAACACAAAACGCGCGCGUAGGGUACUAGUUAUAAUUGAUUUGACGUAUUAAAAGAUUUGACGUCAAGCGUCUUUCGUACGCAAAGGCUUCAGAACCGCAGCUUCAUUUCAAUCUCAUUUCAUUUCUGCAAAGCUUCAUGGACGGCUAGACAGCAAGAGACAACCGAGGCUUCACCAUUUCUUUCUUCCAAAACUCAUCCAAAUCCUUACCAAAACUUCCAUAGAUUCUUACCAAUCUCCACAUUCAUUUAGCUUUUCACUUGGACGGCAACUUAGCUGCAAAAGGAAGGAGCUAUCCACGGUUUCUUCAAGCUUCAAAGGGGCCGAAAAAUCUGUCCAAACCAGUCAUCAAAGUAGGUACUAAUCAAGCACCUUGAACUUGUCUUAUGGAAGUUGAUCUAUGCAUUUGAGUUGGAAUCUUCACUAUAGUAGCUUGUAUUGUUGGAAACGUGGGCUCUAUGAACUCCCACUUUGGGUUGAUGGCUGUGAUGAUGUUUGAUGAUGGUUUUAUUGCUGAAUUAGAGCUUAAGGAAGUAGAUUAAAGGUGUAUUGUGGACAGAAACGUUGUUGAACUCUUGAAGUAAAAAGUUCCCAUUUUACCCCUGUUCUGUUCGGUCAUUUUAAUGCAGAAACUGAGGAUUUAAUGGCCUGAUUAUGUUGAUUACAUGUUGCAAAAGUUGUGUACAAAAUUUCGUUGGAAAAUAUUGAGUUGUGGUUGAUCAAACGAAUUUAUUUCAAAAACUAGUAAUCUGGAAAACGGUUUCGCCGUAAUCCAGACCAGUGUUUGUAUUUCGUCCAUAACUCCGUACUCCGACUUCGAAAUCAAGUGCCGUUAGCGGCAUUUGAAACUAGACGUUCCCAUGUUUCCAACGGUGUAUAAUGGACCUUCUGGUUUCGUGUGUGUGAGCCACACCAUUCAUCUGAAGUCGACUGUCCUGUUUCUCCGUUCUGCCGAAAUGAUUUGAUGAUGCUGCAACUUUAGGCUUGAUUUUGAACCAGUUGCAUGCUGAAACUUAAAACGAUUUCUUCUGUGAAGUUGUAGCCCUAUGAAUCUAUUUUCUAACACUAUCAACCAUUUCCAAUUCCGAGUUAAAUUGAGGGAGUUAUGAUCAAUACACGGCAACUGCCUCGUUUUUGAAAACCUUAGUUUUGGACCGGCUCAAUCCUGGUAAUCUAGAACAGCAACUUUAGGCUCAUUUUUGAAUACCAUCCACUUAGAUUCAUGGAAUGAUGUCUUCUAAGGACUUUUAGUACUUUUGAAGACGAUUCCAACGGUACCAAAUUCAUCAAGUUUCGAUUAGUAGAAAGAAAGUUAUGAUUUUUCAAAGAUUUGACCAAAAAUCAAAAAUUCUGGAAUUCCAGAGGAAAUCCGCGAAGGAACAAUUUUACCAGAAUCCGGCCUUGAAUCCGGCCAGUUUCUGGACGGAUUGUCGGCCGGAUUGGUGGUCAAAUUUGAAAAAAAGGGAGGUUACCCACGGCCAGAAAUCCGGCCGGAUAUCCGGCCGGAUUGUGACGUGGCCAACCCUCCUUCGAUUUCGAUCGUUCGUUUUGCAAUCCUUUCGCUCGUACUCAAUUCCAACCAAUGAUUUUAAGGAUAAUAAUCCGAUUUUCACUUAAGUCCUACACCCUUUUGAGAAUCCAACUUAAUAAACAAGUCAAACGAAGUUUUCAAAUAUUUCCGAACCUUACCCGUGCCCAAUCUUUCUCACCACUUGGGGACCUAUAAUAAUUGUCUACUAUUCGAUGUUCAGGCACGCACGAGGACCUCCAAGAGGAUCCUACCGUGGAAGUUUGAACUCUCCCUCCAACCUACUUACUUGCAUAACUGGUGAGUGUCAAGUGUAUGCCUACUUGAACUCUAAAGUCUUGAUUCAUGAUUGACUUACCUGAUUAUAUGCUCGGUCUAUUGGAUUUUGAAAAAUGGAGUCGAGUGUGUACUUAAUCGCACUCGUUCUCAUUUGGAACAAAUGACUCAUGUUUGACAUGCUUUGCAUGGUUUAUAUGACCUGAAAUACAUGUUUGAACCUGUCAAAUGCUUGAAUUUAUGAAAUGGUAUGCUAUGAUUGCAUACGUCGAUGGAGUGAAUCUCCUCGACAUUUACAUGAUACACGGGGGACGCCCAAACUCAUAGGCCGACCUUGGAACUCGAGCCGGCAUGGGCCUGGUCGGGAACCUUGGUGAGCCAUGAGAAUUACAUGAUAAGCUUGAUCUAUUUGAGAGAUCUCGCUUGGCAUACUCGUGAAGUAUCGCCUUAUAAGUGUCGUGCGGGCCCGAAGUGGUGUAUGGUGGACGGAUGAGAAGUAAGUGGUGAACUACGGAUAUGAAAAUAUCAACCUGGUUGACGGAGAGUCAUCACGGGGAGAUAUACAAAUGACAUCGGCAAAUGUGGAACUUAACUCCUGAGAGCUUCCAUAUCCUUGAAUUGUUUCUGGUUACAUUUUGUCGGCGUUAUUACUUACUUGCAAGUGAUUACCUGAAUUGUUAUUUGGGGCUUGUUAUUUGAAUUAUGUGUCUGCAUGUGUGUUCUUGGCCUCACGAGCGUUUUUGCUCACCCUGUAGAUUUGUUUUCCUUAACAGGUUUGAACUCGGAGGUAAAAUGGAGAAGCCCUCUGAUGUACUUUUGUUUAGGGCUUGUUAUUACUUUUGGUUAUGCCUUUGGUUUUGAAAUUUUACUUUUGGUAUGGAAAUGUAACCCUUGGACGAAAUGAAAUCUGUAUUCUGACGUGUGGUUUGGUGAAUGGAUGACUAUUAUUAGGUUUGAAUACUUCCGCAUUUAUUGUAUUUAAGUUAUUGGCUUUUGUUGUGUGGUCCGGCUAUAACUUGAAUGGAAUUGCUUGAGUCCUGGCGAGAGUUAGGCAGGCGUUCCGCGGAUACCCUUUGGUUCGCCUUAGGGAGAAGUGGGGGCGUCACAAAUCAUGUAUGAGAAAAUGAAACUAAUGAAAAUAUUCAUGUGCAAUCAAUAUAAUAAAUUGUCAUCUUUAUAAUUUUUAAGUUUGCAAUUCAUAAAUAUGGUAACAAAUAAUGUAAUUCAUGUGCAAUCAAUAUAAUUAUAUUGUUAAUUAAGGUUAUAAUUGUGCUAUAUAAAGUAUUUGGGACAAUUUGAAAAAUAUCGAGAAAUUUGGGACUACUUAUAAUAUAUUCAAAAUGUAUUUUGAUUAAACUAUACAACUUGUCCUUUCUUGUUGUAAAUCCAAGUUCAAUUAUGGAACAAUAUACAUGGAAAAGUUGACCUUAUAUGUGUAUAAAUCAUCUUAUUAAUAAAAUAAUUAAACACAAUACAUUUAGUUAACUAUGAUUUAGUGAUUGAUUAUUACAUCAUUUUUUAUAUAAUACGAUAAUUAAAUAUUACAUAUAUAAUAAAAUGUUUCAAAUAUAUUUUAAUUGAUCAAAAAAAUGGUAUACUUACAAUAAACAAAUAAUUAAAGAAAAUUUUGAGAGUAGAAUUUUGUGCUAAAAACGUGUAUUUUGGGUUCAAAUUUAUAACCCACCACUUAUCCACUUAGAAUUAGCAAAAGUAUUAAUUCAUUUCUAAAUACUCUAAACCAUACUAAUUUAUUAUAAUAAAGACACAAAACACUAGCUCCAUGUGAUAACCUAUAGCAAAAAUCAUCUAUUCACUUUAGUAAAAUAUAUGAGUCAAAUUUAAAGAUUCAUCAAAUUUUCUAGGUUUUAAAAUUGGGGUGCGUUAUUUACAUGGAUUUAAAGCUGUCUGAAUAUAGUUUACUACGCAAUAAACGGCACUCAAUUUCGAGUUUUCUACACAAAGAUAUGGCCAAAAUACUAAAAUUAUUACUUAAUUUUUUGAAAAAUAGUAGGAUCGUAGGAUCAUAUGAUCCGGAUCACGAUCAUAUUGAUCUUGUUAAUUUAAUGCUAAUUUUUUAUCCUACUUACAAUUUGGAUCGUUAACCAUGAUCCGUAUCGUAGGAUCGUAGAUCGCGAUUCUAGCAACUAUGGUUGUAGCUAAAAGUUUCUAAGAAUUGGAGUAUAUUAUAUAAUAUAUAGAAUGAAUAUUGAGUAUUAGAAGUAUAUAAUUUGAAAGAAAUCAUGUAUGUGAAAAAUGCAACUAAUGAAAAUAUUCUCAAUAUACAGCUGAAAAAAUAACUAAGUUUGAUAAAUUUGCAUUUAAUUUUUAGAUAGAAGUUUGUUGUAUGAUAUGUAAUUGCCAUUUCUUGAAAUUAUUCUUCACUCUUAUACCUUCACUAAACUUCAAAGAACUUAGCUACACAUAAAAUAGAAUGAAAGGAAUGCUUUCAAGUGUGCUAGUAAGUAAAUAUUUAUACUAUAUCUGUGCUAAUACGUGUCCAUAUGUAUAAUUCAAAAGUUUUAUGUAUUUCAUAUACGAAUAUCUUUUUUCAAGUAACUGCAUAGAACACUUGAUAGGUUGUAUUUUUGCCAUUAAUUUUAUGAUUAUUUCCCUCUUUAUUUUACCAAAUAUUGUAUUAAUUGAUAGAUUCUACUUAUAUUUGGUGCUUUAUGUUAAUUAUAGGACGUUGGGGUAAAAAGUGCUAAAAAAGGGUGAUUUUCUUGGAAUUGAUUGUCACUCGCAAGUUUCCCAAUUCAAGAUGAAGUCUACGUGGAUUAUUUGUGGAAGAUUAGGAAAUUACCAUUUUUCUUAGAUAUUUUAUUUAGAAAACAAUUGGCAUUAUUCUUGGAGUUACCUUUUUCAAUUGACCCGCUUCCGAAGUUACUUCCUUCGUUAGAGCUCGUUUAUCGUUGAUUUAAAUUUAAUCUGUUUUAGUUUAAUUAUUUUCAAUUUGCAUUGAUUAUUUAUUUUUAAUUGCAAUUUUCCAAACUCCCCCCCCAAUUAAUUGUCACUUGGAAAGAAGCAAAUUUUCACUCAAAACCUUGAGUUUAUAUCUUUUUGAGUAGGAAUUUAUUAUUACACAAGUCUGACACCUGUCAAUUAACACAAGGUUUCAAGCAAUGCACAGUUUCUUUUGUACCUAGAAUAGCUAAUGUAGCAAGUCAUAUGCUAGCACAUUUUGCAACAUAACUAGUUUAUGAUAUAGAAUGGGUACAUGAUUUCCCGAUUUGACUAAUAGAAGGGUGAAUGCCCCUUUUUGUAAUUAACUCUUGCACUUCAAGUGUUAACAUAUAUACUGAUUGUUGAAAAAAAAAGGAAAGUGUUUAUUUGUUUAAUCAAAUAGUUAUGGUAGUGUUUAUAUAAUUUCGUAAACAUUGAAAGGUAAAUGACCUCGUUGAAUUUGUAUAAUUUGAUUAUGUUGAAGAAACAUAUAAUCUUGGAAAAGCAGAGAAAUUUUCUAGUAAAUAUUAGAUAAACAAACAAGUCAUUAUUUUAUUUUGAUAGCUAAUCAUUGUUCAUAUCAAUAUACUAGCUAUAAAGUUAUACUCGCAAUACUACUAUUACGGUAUAAAAUUUCUUGUCAGAGCAAUUUAUAAUUUCAUCCCAUUUUUACCGUUGACUGUUAACCUCAAGUUCUUCGGAUAUCCAUGGGACAGUGUAACCCCUUUGAAGGUCAAUUCUUAUUGUUGAUGUGGCGUGUCCCACAUCGGAGGCUGCAUAAGGAAGUUUUCUUCCUUUUGUCCCACAUCGGCAAUCAAGAAGGAAAGCCUCCCCUUGUUUACCUAUAAAUAAGGGGGCUUAGUGGUGAAGAAAAGUGCACCACUCAAGAGAGUUAUAUGAGCUAUUAGCUUUUUGAGUCAUUUAUCCCAUUUGUAGUCAAAUGUUUUAUGUUCUCUUGUUUUGAGUUUAGGAAUAUUUUCUAAACUUUUUAUGAGUGCCUUUUGGCCUAGGAACCACUUUUCUACGGCUUUUGUAUAUCUUCUUCAUAGUGAAAGAUUUGCUCCUCCUCUGUCCAUGGACGUAGGUUAAUUUGACCGAAUCACGUAAAUUUCUGUGUCUUUUAUUUUGUUUUGUUAUUUGUAUUUAUUGGGUUGCCACAACCCUUUUAUAUGGUCAGUCUUACAGCCUAAAGUAUUAUAUGGUCGAUUUUAACUCCUAAACAUUAUAUGGUCGGUUAUACCGCCUACUUUGUGCUAACUUCAGUUUGUUUAUUUCUGGACCAGUUCUAACACUUACACCCUCAUCAAAGUUUCUGGAGUUGCGUAUUAUAGGGGUGCAAACACAAAAACGAGACAUUCUUAAUCAGAUGGAGUUCCUUCUUUUUGCGAUUCAUUCCUCUGCAAACCUCCUCCUCCUCCGAUUUUAAUAUAUGCCACUGUUAAAAUAGGAUACUUUUGUGGGUUUAAGAUUAGAUCGAGACGAACUCUUUUGUGCAAAACAUUUGCCCCAGGCAUCGUUACUACAGAGUAUGUGAUCCAAUUACCAAUGUAAGGUCACAAUGUUAGAGAUGUGAAAUUAUAUUGCAAUGGUCCCUAAAAUCCAACUUGAUCGAUAGGAAUACUAAUUAGGUGAAUACGAGGACUGUGAUUCGACUCUCGAUCUUUCCUCUCAAAUUACAGUAAUAUUUUUAAUCAUACACUCAUCCCCUUACUAACUUCCUAUGGGCCCAAUAUGUUGAGUAGAAUUCGAUUGGAACAACCGAAAAGAAAAGAAAAGAAAACAAAUACAAAACAAUGAAAUAGAGACUUAGUUAGUCAAGUUGGAAGCUAUGAGGAAGUGAGGAGCACAAGUGCGAACAGAUCACCAAGGAAAAAGAAACAAGUUUUUCGAGAAUGCAAUUUGAUUUCAAGCUCAAUCAUAUUCUAAGAGUCAAUGAUAAGAUAGAAAAAAUGUAGGUCCAUUGUUAAGAUAUAGACGGAGAUGGUUGCUUAUUGAGCGUUGGAAGUAUUUCAUAUGCAAGUUGUAAUUAUAUCUCAACUUGUAUAAUUUUAAUUUAAUAAGGUUAAAUUAAUGACCAUGUCAAUGAUUUAUGCGUCAUGCAUGACAUUCUUUUUUCUUGUACUCUCCCAAAAGCUGAAAAUUCUCGUCUCAAUCUCCUCCUCCACCGAUGGCUGCAUGUCUGUACAUGUUUCCCCACAACAAGAAUAAUGAAUCAAUUGCCAUAAUUGCACGCAUUUAAAUUUUCUGAGCUGGUGAUAAAUUGCAUAGUUUUGAUUUUUUUCUAUUUCCGGUUCCCACUCUAGCUACUUCUAGAUUUAUUAAUUGGAAAAAAAAAGAAGAAGGAAUAAAUUAAACCUUAUUUAAUUACUUUUUUAGUCAGGAUAUCUAUAGUAGAUGUAAUUAUCUCUAUAGAAAUGAAUGAAGCAUCCUAGCUUGUGAUCAUUAUCCUCUGUUGCAAUUCUCUUGUUCAAACUUCAAGUUAAGGUUUGUUUGCUAAUUUAAUGGAUUCAGAACUUAAAUUUAAUGGAUUCAAAUCUUAAUAUAUUCAAAUGCUUUUGAUAACCAAAACUUCAAUAUCUGAAUUAAUUAAGUGACACUAAAUUUUCUAGACAAAACUUACUCCUAAAAAUAAGUGAUAAACUAUUUACUUAUCACUUAAUGUGAUAUAUACUCAAAUGUAUCAGAUUUAGUACAUAACAAUUUAAUAACUUAAAGAAUUCAGACUUCAGAUUUCAGUUUUAUCAAACGCAUCUUAACUCAGUGCAAACUGAAUAUGAAAUCCAAAGUGGAAAAUCCAAGAGGUUAGAACUUUGAAACCAUAGGGCCUCUAGGCAAAUUCAGCAUUUUUACAUUCUACUGAUUUAGGGCAUCUUCAAUUAUCAGUUUCAACUCCAUGGUAUAAUAUAGAUAUUACCUCUAAUAGUUGUACACACUUACGCAACAAAUAUAGAUUGUGAAAUUAAUUGUAUAAGUUUGAUAUUUUGUAGGUUUUGGGAUAUAAUUUUCACGUUUAGGAAAAAGAAAAUAUGUUAGUAAGUAAUAAUGUGAUACCCCUUGUCCCACGUUGGAAGUGGGAGAGGAAAAGGAUUGAUAUAUAUACAAGAUUUGGUCGCAUAAGUUACUAGUUACUUGGGCUAACCAUGUCGGAAAGUGUAUUUCGACACAAAAAUUACUUAGGCCAACCAUGGGCUUGGAUGGUGAUAAAUAACUUACUAGAAGCCAGGCAUAUUUAUGUUUAGAUGUCCUAAAAGCAGAGUAGUUCAUAAUCUAGAUAAUGGUAACGAUAUGAUGAGAAUGUGAAGUUAUUUGGUAAACUUUAUAGAUUAAUAAUUUCAUCAAAGCAUCAUAUACAAGCAUGAUGACACAAUCUCAACUUUCAUUCUUUUGUUAAAUCUUAGUUUUUUUCUCUUAAAUUUUUUCGAAUAAAGGAAGGAUGGAAUUUAAGCAGUAGAGGGUGGAAGGGGAUUUUGAAUUCAAAAUCUCUAAUUUCUAAGUUUUUCCCUAAGCAAUCGUCAAAAUAAAAAAAAAAUUUAAAAGAAAAAAAAAUGAGCACCUCAUGGUCAAUGCUCCUGUUCGAAGAUUUAUUCCUUUGGUUUGUCAUCAUCUCCCUCUAUGAAAUCUAAGUACCCUUGGUUGACAAUUUGUUUCCCUGAGCAUCCAUCAACACUUUUAUAUAGUAUUUUUUUUAAUAUAGUAUUAGAUUAGAUUAGAUUAGAUUAUCAAUGCACCAUCAAUAUAGUAUUAGAUUAUCAAUGCACCAUCAAAACACUUUUAUAUAGUAUUAGAUUAGAUUAGAUUAUCAAUGCACCAUCAAUAUCCUUAAAUAUAAAAGCUUAAGUAUAGUAAUCAAAAUACUGUUAGUAAUCUGUACGAUUAUUUUUUAUCCUUUAAUGUUUUAGUUUUAGGAAGAUCACAAAUGCUGCGUAUAAAGCAUGCCAUAGGCUAAAUUAAGCUAAAUUAAGUACACUGCUAAAAUGGAGAGCAUUGCUAAAUUAAGUACCUUAAGAUAAAGACAUAAGCAGCCAGAUCCAUUUGAUGUCAGCUGCUUCAAUAUCCACCUCAAAAUAAAUUAGCCUUUGUUCUAGAUUUAGCUUAAUGCUAAGUCCCUUCACCAUUCUUAGUAAUAAUUCAAUUCUGCCUCAAUUUUCUUCUGAUCUUCAAGGUAAAUGUACGAUAAAUUUCAAAAUAUAUCCCAAAUAUAUGAAUUUCUUGAAACCAUCCUUGAAUCUCAUUACCUACUCAACAAAAUGUUCCAUAAACAUAAAGAAUUGACGAGAACAACAGGGCUCCUUAGAUUUAACAAUUUCAAAUAAGCCCAAGCUAGAAUUUUUCAUAUAUUCAAACAAGAAAUUGGAAAAAUCUGACUAGCUUGCAACGAGUACUACAUCUCAAGACAAAGGAUCUUUUCAGUCACUCUUUUAUUGUAUCGAAAACCUACUUGCAUCUAUGAAUAAGCAAUACUGUGUGAUUUUAGAUGUGAAGCUAAUUCCAUGUGGUAGGACAACUUUGGUUUAAAAAAUAAGGGCAGUCCAAUUCACUCAAUACAAAAAAUAUUUUUAAAUGAUGAUAUUCACAGGAACGUCUAUCUUACUUAAACAAACAAACAAAAAAAAAACAAUAAAAAGGAGAUUGAUUUAGAAAUGUCCGGAGACUUGAGACAUGGACGCUUCAUUAGUCAAUAAUAAUAAAGUCCGGAGACUUGAGACAGGGACGCUUCAUUGAGACUGUUGUGACCAAUUCAGCCCAUAUAGGUAAAAGAAAUGGAAUAAAUCGACAAGAAAUGGUGUCAUCACAUUUUAUUCCACAUUUACCCUUAUAGACCCUAAAAGAAAUAUUGUAACAUAGGACAAACUUUGUCGCUCCGAAGUUGAAUCACUUUUCUAUUCUAUAUACUAAACUUCAAUUUUGGACACUUUGCAUCUGGUUGGAGGCAAAAGCACAGGAAAGCCCUUUUUGAAUGGAAAUAGCAUAAAAGUCUUAGUGAAUGAACAAAUUGAAUAGACCAUUUUGCAGAGCUGUGAGAUAUUCCAAAGCCGUGAAGCACAGUGAUAAGCUACAAAUUAUAGUGGUUUAUAUUUAUUAAUUGUCAAUGAAUGGUUGUAUUUGAGCUAUAAUUUGAAUGGAUGUUGCCUAAUUUAAGUAUAUGUUGGUUUUUGUGGGAAAAGCACGCGAUUGAGGAGGAAAUGAAUCGAAAACGCAACAAAAGGGGAAGAAACGUUGGGUUGCCAAGACACAAGGAUCCGCGGGUGGAUCCUGUGUCCGACGCCAAACAUUGAAAGGGACUUUGCGAGGACUUCUUCUAGUUCUAAUGAUUGGAAAACCCACUAAAACUCGAUUUUUGGCAAGUUUCAAGACCCAUUCUUACCAUAUUUCGGAUACAACUUUCAAGACCCAUUCUUAGUUCAUCAUUUUUAUAUCUUCUUUUCUUGAGAGAUCACAAUGGAAUUGUUGAAGAAUCAAAGGAAGUUCAAGAUGGAGAUUGGAGCGGGGAAAAAUUAAGAAGUUUUCUUUACUUUUAACUUCUUAUUUUGUCUUUCAUUUGAAUUCUUGGAUUUAUCUAUGAAUAUGUUGAACUCAUUUAUAUCUAAAGUUAGGAUUUUGUGAAGGAGAUUUAAUUAUUUGUUCUAGAUAAAUUAUUCGCUUUUGCUUAGAUUUAUUUAUCUUGCCUUUAUUACAUGUUUAUGUUUUGCCACUAUAGAUAUGCUUUUAGGAUUUGUAUUGAGUUGAGAAGCGAUAUACAACCGUACAUUAGAUAGAUAAACAUACUUAGUAUAAUCAUGAAAGUAGGUUAAACAUUGUAUGGCAUAAUUAUAUCACCUAAGAUUUUAAAAGAUUUAAUUAAAUACUUAUAAUCUGAAGAGCAUCGUGAGAUUUAUUAGACAAAUUUAGAAGUAUCAAGAGAUAAUCUAAAGUACUUUUACGUGAUACGUCUUUGACUUGUCAAGAAAAUAAUUGGAUAUAUAAUUCCAAUUCUGAAUCAAAAUUUGAAACUCUGUUUUUUGCUAAUUGUUUUCUCACCCAUAUCUUGUUUGAUUUGAUUAUUUAUUUAAUUUCUUAAUUAGUGAUUAAAAACCCUCUGAAUUUAAAUUUUGUUAUUUUUAUUAGAGGAAUUAAAGUAUGAAAAAUUAACUCACUGCUGCAGGUUCGACCCUACAGUACUUCAAGGGAAUUAUUAUUACGAUCGACCCUGUACAGUUAUAGAAAUUCAUCGAUCACACAGCAACUAAAAAAAAUUAAUGCACAAUAAUGUCAUGAGCAGAAACAGUUCGCAUCUUAGCUGUUCAUCAUUCACGUAGAUUUCAAUUAGUGGUCAACAAAUAAAGGCAUCGAAAAAAGUAAUCCAACUAGAUAAGUGAAUUUAUACUACAACAUAUUUCUUUUUUCUACCGCAAAAACUUAACUAAUUUACGACAAUGUAGUCCAAGCUAAUUGAAGAUUAAUUUUCCCUAAAAAAUGUUCAUGAUAAAAACUCGACAAAGAGAUAAUACAACAGCUUACUUUUGGAGAUGAUCUUAUACGGUAUUUAUUAACAAACCAAUGAGGAGCGACAAAAUGUACAUAGGUUCCCUCCAUAUAUUAGCCACUUAAGCCUUUUUUUUUCCUUUUGGGACUACACAUGACAAAAUGAGGAGUGAAUAAGUCACUUAGCAUCAAAAAUUUUCCCUCCAUAUAAUUAGUUCAACCUGAUUUAAGACUAAAUUUUUACUAUAGGAAUGUUAGUGAUUCAACAAUGAAACACCAUAGAAACUUAUUUUGGGAGAUUGUCCUAGAAGAUAAAAAAUGAGCAACCAAUCAGAAUCCAUUCAGUCUAAUUAAUUCACCAGCUAUGUAUAUUUCAUCCAUUUUCACAUUAUAGAAAGAACAAUAAUGCAUGGCUUUAUCCAUCAUAAAUUGCUCGUAUAACAUCAAGAUAUUCAUGGUGUGGACCGCAAAUGGCUCGUCAUGUCUACUGGCUACAUUUUAAACAUAUCUUAUGGCCAGAAUGAUCAUCUUAUCAACUUAACGAGUUUAUUCAUAGUACCAUACCAUUAAUUUAAAAAAGUUUCAACCUUUUACCUUCUAUAGAUGUCAAGGAAUAUAGCUAAUAACGCACUUUUGGCAGCAAUCUUCCUUCACCCAAUUAAAGAUUUUCGGAGCUUAAAGUUCAGCUCCUAAAGCUCUUCUCCAAGGCUCACCAACCAACAGAGAAAUUACUUUUAGCAAAGUUGUUAAAUUUUGGCAACAGGUUUUGAUGGCAUCUUGGUAAGAUUGGAAGAUUAUACUGCGCUUCUAAGAUAAUGUUUAAAAAAGCUAUUUUAGUGAGGGCAUUAUGGUCAAUUUGCCCCUGAUGAUAUUGACAUUAGGUCCCAUCAACAUCAGAAGGGAGCUCAUUGUAUUAUUGGAUAUAACAAGGGUGCUAGUGAAAUUAUGAAAACCCCAAGGGAGGUUUUUGAAAUUAACCCUAAAAUACUCAUUCCACGCGAGGCGUGGCGUUCCCCUCCUAGUUCCUAUAAAUAGGGCACCAACUCAAUGCACUUAUCACUCGAUAUCAAUAAUUUAGCACAUUAUUUACAUUUUGAGUGAGAUUGUGAUCAAAUGGCAUCUUCAAAAAAUUUGCUCUUUCUUAUUGGUGUUCUCUUUGCACUUGUGCUCCUCAUUUCCUCUGAUGCAGCAGCUGCAGGUGCCUAGUCCUUUUUUUUUUUUCCUUUCUUCCUUUUUUUUUUUGGCUGCACCUAAACACUUAAAUGAAUGGAGAUUUGGAGACUCAUUAUUGGGAUGUGAAUUUUUAUGGAAGUCUAUUUGCAUAUUAUCUAGCAAGUCAUAUUAAUGUGCUAAUAUCUUUUUCAUUGUUUAGCAAAAGUAAAUUUGGGUUGCUUCUAUCAAUGGUUAGUGGCACAUCUGAUUUUUCAUGCAUCCUUAUAGUAUUGCUGUAAGGAUACACGUUCCAUAGUGUCGCACCAAAGAUUAAACUAACGUUGAAAACCAAAUUAAAUGCUUCUAAUUAUAAUUUAAAGCAAAAUAAUUCAUAUCCAAGUCGCACCAUCUUAUAUGCCUGGACUGUUUUGUUUAAUCCAUAUUCUUUUCUUUGCAUAUAUCUUGCAAAUUUUCAGCCUAGCCGGUCACCUAACGUUCGCAGCUUAAGAUAAAGCUCCAAAUAUUUAUGUCUCCUUGUGUCUUGAAACAGAUCAGAAGAGCAAUAAAACCACUGGUGUCCACGAUGCCAGUUCAGGCGAGGUUCAUCAGGAUAGCAUAAGCGAAGAUCGUUGCACAUAUGGUUGCUGCCGCUGGUACAAUGGAUAUUGCCAAAGAUGCUGUCCACCUCGUGAGAAUUGCAGAUAUGGUUGCUGCAGCUGGUACAAUGGAUAUUGCCAAAGAUGCUGUCCACCUCCUGAGAAUUGCAGAUAUGGUUGCUGCCGCUGGUACAAUGGAUAUUGCCAAAGAUGCUGUCCACCUGCUGGGUAGACCCCUGAAGCUACAUCCGGAGAUGAGGUCAAAAAUUAAUGCUAAAUAAAUAAGGGUGUGACACAGGAUCCGUGACACCUAUAUUAUUACCUUAAUAUGUUAUGUUGUGUUUG